AAAAAAAAGCAAGAGCAAAACACUAAUGUAGCAACUGUCGCAUUAGCUAAACCCGACUCCGCAUUAGUAUACCCCCUUUAACCCAUUACAAUUUUUUUAUAAACACAACUUUGGUAUUAAGUUAAUGUGAAUUGUAUUUUAAUACCCUGUAAUCCUAUGAUUCAAACACACCCAAAGUGAUGAACUGAGACCAGCAAAGCCAAACCAAAUGAUUUCAACGACAUAGUUGGGAUGAUAAAACAAGAAUGUUCUACAUACAGUUAUGGUUCUGGCUUAUUGACAAUCAUUCAAGCAAAUUUACUUCCAAGAAACGUGUAACACGAGGGCGACUCCCACAUUGAUGAUACAGGUACAAUUGAGGUCUUGGCCACUGUGAAAUUGCAGCACAUAGCAGCAAUGGCAAGCAUUAAAUUGCAACCCAGGCUAGCAUUCGAUUAAAGACUAGAGAUGGCUGGACUCGAGAAGCAAAAUGGAAUGUUACGCAUCAGAAACCUUCUUAAAAGAAAAGCAAGUUUCACCAUCAAAACUUAUGGAGUACACCUGAGAGUUGAGCUUCUCAAAGAAUAAUAAUCAAACUCAAUAAGAGACGAAGAGUAGCUCAACUGAAAGAGUUUCAAAUAAUUCACGCAGCUCCGUCACAGUAUAAUCAAUCACUCAUCACCCCAAGUUGACGGUCCACCCAAUCCAACUUCAGGUUCCUGAGACAAUUGAACUGUCAGACCCAUACCCCUGUUUUUAGAUUUCUUCUACCCAUACCCCUGUUUUUAGAUUUCUUCUUCUUAGCAGAAGUGGUAACUAAGCCAUCAACUGAGUUGAAUUUAGAAGCUUCAUUAACCAUAUUGUCACCAUCAAACUCAGGAUUUCCUGCAAUAUUGGCAGAGAAGAGCUCCGCGAAAGCGGCUUCUCCAUUGUCAAUAAUGUCAAGUUCUCCUUGUUUCUCCUUUGACUGUUUCUUCUGUUUCUUUUUAAAUCUGUUAUCAUCAUCGUCAACUUGAAUGUCUUUGUUUGAGAGAUUUUCACUGGUUUUCUUUCUCUUAUCGCCAUCUUUGUUUCGACCAGGCACAAUGCCUCCAGAGUUCUUUGCAUCAUUAAUAGCAUCAAGCUCCCCUUCUUUCUCUUUUGACUUCUUUUUCAAUUUCUUCCCUGCUGCAGAAUCACUUUUGCUCCACUGAAUUUCUUUAUUUGAGGGUUUGUCAUUUGUUUCUCUAGUGCCAUCUCUUUUCUUUUCCAUAUGAACUUUUAUCGUGUCAUCAGCAUUAUUUGAGGAAUCAUUAACUUUAUCAACUAUAUUGUCCUUUUCAUUUUUGGUGAUUCUAUCUAUUGGUCUAGCAUUGAAUAUACGCAAGUUUGGCAAUAGAUUUUUGACCUGCAACAAUAUUGAACAUAGAUUAAUCCAGCUAGGAGCAGAAUUCUUGAAAGAUGAUUAACAUGAUAAAAUGAUUGCGAUAUUACCUUCUUUGCCAAUUUAUCAUAUUCAGCUACAGGGUUUCCUUGUAGAUUGAGGUUAUUCAGACUGACUAAUGACUUCAGCACCUGCUAUUCGAGCAUGUUACCAUUAUGCAUGGUGACGAAGUAUAUAGAAAAAACUUGAUGAAAACAAAUAUAAAAGAAACAAAUAUUUCAAUGCCUCACCUUCAAUUCUGACCAUCUUGUGAUCAAGUUCUUUCCUAAGUCUAAAUUUUGAAGCUUCUUAUUAAAAGCCAACUUGGCCGGAAGAGUCUAGACAAUUCAGAGAGUGAGACAGAGAAAGACAACAUAAGAAAUGAACAAAAUAUCAAUCAUGAUAUUAACAAACAAAAAAAAAUAUAAUGAAUUUGAGGAUAGCCUGCUAUCAUAAAAUGACCACUGGGUACAUGAUUUACCUUAAUGUCAUUGUCAGCAAGUCGGAGUUCUUUCAAUUCUGUGCAAGACUUGAGCGAAGAACCAAUAAUCUGGACUUGGCAGUUUGAGAGAGAGAGCUGGAGCCAAUCUUGAUUAACAGCCUUAGCAACAGUCUUUCAAAAUAAUAGCUAACGGCAAUUAAUGACCAAAGCAUUGCUUACCUUUGUAAUAGCUUUCAUAUUGAGCAGAGAAUCGCCAAUUUUGCGAAUUGGAUUUCGAGAAAGAACUGCAUGAGAAACAAACAUUUAUCCCAAGAAUCAACUUAAAUUCCAAUAAUGCUUUGAUCUGAACACAGUAUCAUCAAUCACGAACAUGCAAAAUCAAAAAGAAUUGCACACAAGUUUGCUAUCUCCUCAAAAUCAAACAGGUUUGCUCUCUACUCAAAAGUCUUUCGACCAUGCCUUAACCAACCACUCCUUUAAACCAAAUCCUAGAACAAGUAAAAUUUAUAGAGUUAAAAAUUAUUGACUCUAAGAAAAAUGUAAUUGUUACUUCUCUAAGAAUUACAGCUCUUAUUCCUCUCCCAUUCUCGCCAAAGUUCUAUAUAGACAACACCACUUGAACAAACAUAGGCUAGAGCAUGUAAUGUCAAUCUACUAACAAACAUCAGCCAAGGAACAGAUUUUAUCAAACACAAUGAAGUGUGAACAUGAAGAAAUAAGAAUCUGUACCAAGAGAGUUCAAUUCCUUCAUCUGAUCAAGUUUGCAUAUCGAAACAAUCUCAUUGUCUGCACAACCACCCCACCCAACAAAAAAAAAGGUUAAAAAACGAACUGAUUUCCAUAUUUUAUAUCACCAACUUACAAAAAGGGCGCUGCAAUUAGGGUCUAAAUCUCACCAUUCAGAAUUAAAGCACGUAAGCUCACGACAGACAUCACCUCAUCCAUCGAUCUAAGCUUAUUUUUGCCCGCAUUCAACACCUGAAUUUCAAAGACAGAACAAGGUGAAUUUAAAUAAUCCAAUUAGCUCAUCAUUUUCAAACCUAAACUACUUCAAACAACUAGUUUAGAUCGAGCAAGUGUCCCAAUGGACAAUAAUAACAAACGGAUAAAAGAUUUCAACCAAAUCGCCAGUAACAAUAAGCAUCGGAACCUUCUCAUGGGAAAACAAGAAUCUCUCAUAAGCAACCAUUUAAAAGUGUAAAAAAUGUAAAAUAUCACGAACAAAGCAAGGGAAUGACACUUACAGUGAGCUUAGAGAGUCCUUCGAUUCCUUUUAAGCUUUGCAAUUUGUUUUGCACAACUGAUAGCCACUUCAAAUUCACGCAAUGCCUCAACCCCUUCAAAUAAAAUUAAAAAAAUAAUAAUUAAAUUUCAUGCCAAGAAAUGAUAAAGGCGUAAAUUUGUUACUGGGGUGUUGGGGAAAUGAAUGAAUGGUAGGCACCUCAAGAGAAGUGAGGUUGUUGGAGCUAAGGUCGAGUCUCUCCAAGUUGUUGAAAUCGGUCAAGCAAGAGACGUCGGAGAGAGCUUUGUGAGUGAGAGUCAGAGAUUUUAUGGAAUUGGGAUCGCCAGUCUUGUUGUCCUUCAAAAUUUGCUCGGUGCUCAGUCGUGUCAUGAUUUGGCUUCUUUGGUUUAGUCUUUGAGAAUUAGCAAAACCCUAGCUUUGAAUGUCUCUGCUUCCAGGGUUUAUCUCUAAACUCUCAGGCAGUGUUUGUUCCGUACUCGUUUGAGUCAACCGACACGUCGUUUCAAUGUAAUUUUUUUUUUUUCAAACCUGAAGGAGUUCAUAUUAGUGAAAUUUACAAAUAUGAUCCAAUUGUUAGGUCAACUCACAAAAAAUAGCUCAACUUUUCUCUCUCUCUCUCUCUUUUUUUUUUUUUUCUCGAGGCCGGAUCACAAUGCCCAAAAAUAUGUUUGUUAUAUAUUAUUCCUUUAAUUAGGUUUGAAUGGAAACAAAAAACCUCCCCGUUAAAUAUCAAACUCUUAACCCUUUUAUUACUAAUUGAACUUGAGUCAUUUUGAGCACAAAAGACAUUCACAAGCAACCGAUCUCUGCCUAAAAGCAUUUAUAUUAUAUUAACUGUAUACCGUUUAAAUAAUCUAUCACAUAUAGUCACUCAGUCAGAAACAAUCUCGUUUUUCCAUCUCUUUUUCACUAGCACCAAACACCAUUUUCUUCACUCAUUCAACUCUAAAUCAUUAUCAAACCCCAAUCGUAAAAAUAUUAGGUUUGUGUUUCGGUUUUUUUUUUCUAAAAUACAAAUUUAAUUUAGAGAAAAUGUUUGUAAAUUAUCUAAAACAGUUCUUCAUUAGCAAUGUAGGAUGGACUAAUCAAUGGAAAACUCUUAUUUUUUACCCUCUGAAACAAAGAAACAUAAAUUUUAAGUAGAGAUUGGACUGUGAAAUCAAUAGCCCUCUUGAAUAGAUGAGUCCUGAUCGAGUGACAUUGCAUCCUGGACCCCAAGUACAUAAUACAACAAACAUACAGGCACGGAAAAAUCUAGUAACAUCUUCUUACAAAGCAGCCAAAUUCUUCGAUAAAGCCAUCCAAAAAAUGACAGUACUUGUACCUCCAUCUUCUGCUGACAAGUAGAGGACCUAUGAAACACCAAAACCCCACUACAAAUCCAAGUGCCAAGCUUACAUACAACAACCAGUCCACUUCGUCUUCAUCUUCGUUCCCAUUUCCAUUUGGAUCUUCUGGUACAAGAGGAUUAUUCUCAUUACAAUUAGGAAGUGGAGCUCCGCAUAGAUUGUUGCCGGCAAAACAAGAUGCAUCGAAGCUUUGCAAUUGAGUGCUUGAAGGAAUUUUCCCAGUCAAGUGAUUGUUGGACAAGUUCAGGUGAUUUAAAAAUGACAAACUUGACAUACUUUGGGGAAUUUUACCAGAAAGUUGGUUCGCUGAGAAAUCGAGGGACUCAAUUGAUUUCAUAUCACCAAUUUUCUCAGGAAUUUUGCUGGUAAAAAAAUUGUGGGACAGAUUCAGUGAUUGCAAUCCUUUAAGAUUUGUCAGUUCCAUCGGUAUUUCUCCCGAGAAAUUAUUCUUCGAAAUGUCUAUGCUUCUUACCAAAUUCAGAAUGGAGUUAUAUUCAACCAUAGACCCUUUCGUCACAACUGAUGCAUCCACCACAACUUCACUCUCAUCCAUCAUUGCAAUGUAGGAUAUCGCAUUCCCUAGAAGAGAUGAGUCCGUCGUCGCUAUAGCAGUGAAGUUACCGAUGCAUCUGGGUAUAGUCCCUGAGAGAUUGUUAUAAGCAACAUCUAAAAUUUGUAAAGAAGUUAGACGACAAAGUUGAAUCGGCAAAUCGCCAUGGAACUUGUUUGAUCGAAGAAUGAGAAUCGACAAUCCAGAAAAUCUUUCUCCCAUCCAUGUUGGAAUAUUCCCGACAAACUCGUUUUCGCCCAUGUCAAGAGAUACCAAACUUGAACAAUUUUGAAAUGACUCGGGAAUGACUCCAGAGAAUCUAUUAUUGCGCAGGUUCAAUGUCAAAAGAGAACUUAAAGUUCCAAUUGAGGUCGGAAGACUACCAGUAAGGUUAUUGUUACCUAAAUUCAGCAUACCCAAGCCAGGCCAAUUCAUCCAACAAUCAGGUAUAUCCCCAGAAAAGUUAUUUUAAGUAAUUUUUCGAGAGUUGGAGAUAAGAAGUGCUCUUUAACCCAUUACAUAUUAAAUGAAAAAUGGACCCCGAAAAACCAUAUGCUAGAUGGGGGACGUAGAAGAGGCGAUGGACGGUAACGAAAAUCUAAAUUUGGAAUCUCACCGUAGAUUUGGUUGCUAGAGAGAUUCAAAUAUAUGUAUUGGAAAAUGGAAUUCCAAAACCAACGAGGAAUAGUUUCUGAAAUUCUUGUGUUGGAUAUGUCCAAAAAAGACAAAUGCUUUUGUGAAUGAAGCCACGAUGGAAAAUGAGGCCCUAAAUGACAUGACCUCAAUUUCAAUGUAUCGAGUUGAAAAGGAGGAACCCAGUUCGGAUUGACUUGCAAGAUUAGCGGGUUACCAGAUGUAGAAAAUGAAGUCAGUUUUGUUAGAUUGACAAAAUGAUUUUCAGAAAGUGUUCCACUCAUCCUAUUGUUGGACAAAUCUAGAUAUUCUAAAUGUGAAAAUUUUCCCAAAGACAAUGGAAUAGAACCAUUCAACAAGUUGUUGGACAAAUCUAGGUAUUCUAAGUUUAAAAUUUGUCCUACAGACAAUGGAAUGGAACCAUUCAGCCUGUUUUUGGAAAGAUCUAGAUAUGUCAAAUAUGUAAGUUCUCCUAAAGCAGAUGGAAGUGGACCUGAAAGAGAGUUGUUACGUAGUCGAAGUCUGUUCAAACUUUUAAAUUGCCCAAGUUGAUUUGUCAAGUGACCUGAAAAUUGACAACUCCUCAAAACUAGUGACUCUAGUGCAUGUGCACCGCAUGCAGAGAAAAUAUCUAAAACUUCUGAUAAGUCUUGACUCAAUUUGACAAAUGACAGAUCGAUUGAUGUCAACUUACAAAGCCGUACAAACGAUGUUGGAAUCUUCCCUGCAAGAUCAUAAUUUAAGGAAAGGUCGAGAGUUUUGAUAGAAGUCAAGUUUUCUAGACCCAUCGAUGAAAUUGUGCCUAGCAAGGAAUUAUGUUGAAGAGAAAGGAACUCAAUAUCACUAAGCUUAGACAACCAACCAGGUAUUGCAGAAUUGAAUUCAUUAUAAGAUAAAUCAAGAUGUCUAAGAAACGUCAAGUUUCCUAGUCCGAUGGGGAUUUUACCUUGAAAUUGAUUACCGCUUAGAUCGAAAAAGACUAAAUUAUGAAGACCAAAAACCCAACUGCUAAAUUGAAACAAAGAGUUAUUCAAUUGGUUUUUGGAAAGAUCGAGGGUCUUAAGGGAGGAAAAAUUAGCAGAGGAUGACGGAGGAAAGUGAUGGAGUUCACAGUAGGACAACUUUAGUACUUUUAAAGAAGAGAGUGAGUUUGUGACAAGUAACCAAUCAGUGGCUUUGCUAAGGUCAGCUUCACUCAGAUCGAGGUGCUCUAGCAAAGAAAGACCAGAUAGCCAUGAAAAACUUUCAACUUGUGACUCAUAAUUCUCACUGAGAUCAAGAUAUUGAAGAUUAGAGAGAUUUCCAAGUUGGUAAGGAAUCACUCCUGCAAAUUUGGCUCUAGAGAGAUUCAGGUAUCUAAGGUUCUUAAGAGAACCAAGAUAUUUGGGAAUUUGAAUUCCAUGGAAAUCAUUUCCGCUUAAGUCCAAGUGAAUCAAAUGCUUUAAGUCAACCAAAGAGGGAUUUAUCUUACCAGCCAGCUUUGGCCCCGUGCCGUUAUUAGGAUUAGGAUUUCCAAGGUUGAGCUGAAGGACAUGGCCAGUGAAGUUGUUACAAACAACACCAUCCCAUGCACAGCAAUCUUCAUCACGAAUAUUCCAAGAGGCAAGACGGCUGGAAGGAUCUUUGAGAUCUUGUUUCAACUUUAGAAGUGCUUCUCUCUCACUGUCUACACAACCCACGCAAGGGUUGCCAUUGCAGAAGCUGAUGUUGAUCAUAGUAGCUAUAAAAAAUAAGUCAAGGAAAACAAGGGCAACAGAAACACUCAUGAUUGUUGAUUUCAUCGCUGUGGAUAGAAAUUUAAUUAAUGAUAAGAAAUGGUAGGUUGCUUAUGAGAAAGUUAUCAUUUUGAAUGAUAUUUAUAAUGUCCUCUGUUUGCCCACCUGAUAUGUCCACGAUGUCCUCAGUUUGCCCGUUUGAUGAUUUGGGUUCAAUCUAAUUUGGAAUACGAUGAUAAUCAAGUCUUCGAGAAAAACUCAACUCUUCGAGGUCAUUAAUUAAUUAACUUCUAUGGGUUCCUCUGGGUGGACUUGUAAUUUACAUUAUUAGAGUGAACAAAUGUCACACUCGUGUCAUUAAGCCACUUAACAUAGUUAAUUUUGAACAAAAGUUGUUUACUUGCCGGCUUCAUGCAAAUAUCAACAGACGAUACGCUUGAAGUAUGAUAUUCAAGUUCGUGUCGAUCUUUGGAUUAGUUUUCUUUUAUUAUUAUUAUUUAGCCGGCAACCUAACCCCACUCACCCUUUUGAGCUGACUCCAAGCUCUAAAUCUCUUAUUUUCAUCACAACUGCUUUACUAACUCAAUUAGUUAGCAGCCACAUAAUGUGAAUGAUAAUGAGCUAAUUUGUCCCACUAUUUUUUUUCUUUUUUUAUGUGCUAGCUUUGGUUUGGACCAUUGAACGAAUAUUUUCAGUCACACACUUUUCUUUUAACUCGGCUAUUUUGAAGUAAUUUAUAUGUAAAACAGAACUUGGACGUCCUCAGGACGUGCCAGUGUAUAGAAGUAGUGAUAUUGAAGGGAAAAAAAAAGGUAAUUUAUACGUCGAAGUCAAGAGCCGGCAUCUACAAUUUUUUCACCGUUCAUUUCAAAUGACUAGCUAGUUUAUCCCAAUGAAUACUGAAUUUGAAUAUAUUUAUAAUAAUCAUUGGGACAAGUUAAGCAGCCUCAAUUUUAUCGACAAUUUUUACACUAAUUUGAACCUUUUGAUUAAGAAAGAAUGAACGGUCGACAUUACAAUUCAAUUACUUUCAUUAAUAAUAUUGUUCGCUCUCCUUUAAUAGUUCCUUUCAACAUAUUAACAGUACAUUUUUCUCCCUCAUUGCCUUUUCUUCUAUUUUCUUUGUUUUUGAACUGUUGUGCGCAAGUUGGUGUCGACUUUGGGGAAUCGAUAAUGAUCUAACUUACCCUCUUUCUUUUUAAGUUUGUAGGGUGGUCGGGCAAUUGUAACUUUAAAUCUAUAUUAUUAAGUGUUGGAUAAAAACUUAGUUAAUUUUAUUUCACAUUUAUAUGAUGAAAAAUUUAUAAUUAUCUUUAUUAUUUUUAUCAAAAUUAUUAUUUAAAAAUUAUUUUCACUAUACGCUAUUAACUUUUAUUUCAUAAUUACAUUUUAUUUUUUACACCGUCUCAAUACCAAACAAAACCUCGAUGUACUAUUGACAUUAGGUAUGCAUGGUUCGCAGGCCAUAAGACUUUACCCAUUGUAACGUAGGAUUUUACGGACUAAAAGUAAGCUGUCUAAUUUUAUUAAGAAUCGUGAUUCUUAAAAAAAGUAACUCCAUGAUCAACAUCUCUAGAAUCAUUUAGAUUUUGGAUGACCAUCUUUGUUUUGAUCAGGCACAAGGCCUCCAGAGUUCUUUGCAUCAUCAAUAGCAUCAAGCUCCCCUUCCCUCUCUUUCUAUUCUCACGUACCACUUUCUUCCCAGCUGCAAAUCAAUUUUGCUCUGCAGAAUUUCUUUCAUUGAGAGUUUGUCAUUUGUUUCUCUAAAGCUAUCUCUUUUCGAUUCCUUCUGAACUUUUAUCUUGUCAUCAGCACUUUGAGGAAUCAUUAACCUUAUCAACAGCAUCGUCCUUCUCAUUUUUGGUGUUUUUAUCUAUUGGUCUAACGUUGAAUAUAUGCAAGUUUGGCAAUAGAUUUUUCACCUGCUAUGACAUUGAUUCUAGAUUAGUCCUGCUAGGAGCACAAAUCUACACUUGAAAAACCAUCAUUACCUUCUUUGCCAAUUUAUCAUAUUUAGCUACAGUGUUUCCUUGUAGAUUGAGGAUUAACUAAUGAAUUUAGCACUUGCCAUUCAAGCAUGUUGCCAUCAUACAUGAUAAGAAAGUAUGUAUGUAGAAAAAAAAAUUAAGGGAGAAAUAUAAGAGAAAAAAUUUUCAUGCUUCACCUCAAUUCUGAGAUCUUGCUAUCAAAUUCAGAGAUUGAGAUGGAGAAAAACAACAUAAGAAAUGAACAAGAUAUCAGUCACAAUAAUAACAAAUAAAAAAUAUAAUGAAUUUGAGGACAGCUUGCUAUCAAUAAAAUGACCACUGUGAACAUUGUUUACCUUUUUGUCAUUGUGAGCAAGUCGGGGUUCUUGUAAUUCAGUGCAAUACUUCAGUGACGAAGCAAUAAUCUGAACUUGGCAACUUGAGAGAUAGAAUUGGAUCCAAUUUAGAUUAACAGCCUUCGCAACAGUCUUUCAAAAUAUUAGCUAAAGACAAUUAAUGGUCAAAGCAUUGCUUAUCUUUGUAAUAGAUUUCAUAUUGAGCAGAGAAUCGCCGAUUUCGCAAAUUGGAUUUCGAGAAAGAACUGCAGGAGAAUCCAAAAUGCCGAAGAGCAUGAUUCAAGUACACCAUCGUCUAAAUGGCAAAACAAACAUUUAUCCCAAAAACUGACUUAAAUUCCACUAAUGACUUCUUUUACUGAUCUGAGAGCAAAGUAUCAUCAGUGAAAAUAUGUAAAAUCAAAAGGAAUCGCACACGAGUUUACAAUAUCCUCAAUCAAACGUAUAGCGGGAAUAGUAGAGUCAAUGUUAUUGUCAGACUCUAUAUAUAUCUAUAUAUAUUUUGAGGUGUCAAUGCCCUUAUUUUUUAUUUUUUAAUACGGACACGUUGUUAAAUCUUACAAUUAAUAGUGUUUUAAUUUUAUUGAAUUACAUAGUUUAAUAGUGUGUUCUCAUGAAAAAAAUUGAGGGCGUCCACACUAAAGAAGGAUCAUAUAUAUAUAUAUAUAUAGAGAGAGAGAGAGAGAAAUUUUCCAAUCUAAUAUUUUAAAGUGCAGGGAAAUUUGAAAAAACUUUAAAACUCUGCGGUUUUAAAAGUGUUAAAGCUUUUCUGAACUUUUCUAAACUUUAAAAUUCUGGACCAAAAAACUACUACUACACACACACACACACAAGGGGCAUGUGUGUUAUACUUUUGGACAGUUCAAACAAUUUACCACACACUCAUAAACAAUCUAUUUUUUCCACCUUUUUUCAUUUACAUCAAACACCAACUUUACCACUCAUUCAAGUCUAAAUCGUUAUCAAACAGCAAAAUUUUUAGGUAUAUUUGGAAUGUUAUGAGAUUUUUCGGAUACUAAGAGUAAUUUUCUAAUCAUAUUUCAUUCGUCUAUUUUCAAGUAAAGCAAGUACAAGUCAUUAACCUUAAUAGAGACCCUCGUUUGGUAUAUGCGGGAUAUGAUAUUUGACAUGUACUCACUCCUAAAUUUAGUACACAGAAAUGAAAAAUAACAAAACGUGUAUAGAUAAAAUAUGAAGAGUCUGGAGAUCUAGACGCAAGUAGCCGGGAUUUGCUUUCCGAAGAGAGUUGGUUUGACAUUGGAACACAAAGAUGUCGUUUCAGGACCCUCAACCUUAACAUUAACCCCAUUGUACACCAAGUUUAUAUUCCCAAUCUCAAUAUUUUGGCAUGGAAUCUUUUGGCUACACACAAGACUUACGGCAACCUUGGUAGCUGAAGUGCCACGGAUGUUAUUGAAUCUCACAUUGCUGAUCUUCACUUGCGAAGGAACCUGUAAAAUAUUAACGGCAGGGCGUGUAAUCAUUAGCUGUCAAAUAUAACUGAGCGGUCUGCUUUAAAAAUUAAGCUGAAGCAUAAUAGUUUGAGAGAUGAAUGAAUGUUCAUGUACCUUUAUGUUACAUUUAUUAUAUGGGCAAUACAGUUGAUCUAUGACGAUGCGAUUUUCCACAUUGUUCGUGACAAUGUCUUCAAAAGCGAAGUUGGAAGCGAUUCCAACGUGAGAAUCAGGUCAUGUUUUGACUCUAACCCCGUUACUUGUGCCUGUGAAGGUACAGUUCCUUACAGUCAAUCCAACAACUUCUUCAUCUUUUGUAUCCUUUCCCAGGCGACCAACACUGAUACCAUGUCCUGGUCCGAAAAAAACGUCAGAUACUAAAAUAUUUUUACUGCCUUGACCAAGACAGACACAGUCAUCACCGGUGGCUAUAACUGAAUGUGAUAUCUCAAUCCCAUUUGAUCUUCCAAUAUGAAUUCCGUUAGUAUUAGGACUAUCCGCGUGUGCUGUGAUUUUGAGGUCAUUUAUCUUCAGGUUGUAGCAACCCAAAAUGUUAAUGUGGAAGUAUUUGCUACCAACAGAUUUUAUCCCAGUAAUUGUUGAGUCGUUCAGGAAAUUGAAUCGCAUGGACUGUCAAUUAGACACCAAAGCAAUAUUAACUAAUUAUUUUAACCCUGUUUUCAUUAGCAGGUUUACAAAAAUAAAACAAAAACAAAAAACAAAACAAAAAACAUAGAGAACAUUGUUAACAAGACUUACUGUGGGAAGCUGGCAAUCGGAGUUUUUGUGGCAUUGAUUUAGUGGCCAUGCAGUUUCGCCUUGGCCGUGGAAUGUUCCUUCGCCGGAGAGAGUGAAGUGUCUGAGAUAUUGAAAGGUGAUCCAGCUUUGUUUAUCGGGUAGUUUUGAUAGGCCGGUUGGUGCCUGGACAAGCCCUUGAAGUUGAAAAGAAAUUGGAGCUUUGCAUGGACCUUCAAGUUCGACAAAAUUCGACAAGUAUUUUCCCGGAGUUACCAAUACCGUGCUUUCUAUUCCAUCCCAGUUGCAAGCUUCUCUCCAAGCAGUACCAAAAGCCUAUAUUAAAUUGACAAGAACCAAAUACUUACUAUUUUUAAUUAGUAAAGCGACUACGUUUUCAAAUAAGGCUUUCAUUUCGUGUUGUUGUUGAGCAGCUGUGGCUAUUAAGCUGCGGAUCUUAUUUUCUUACCUUACUAUCAUCCUUAAUGCCAUCGGCCGCGGCACCAAAGUCCUUGACGUUGAAAACUCUGUUGGUUGCAUCGAUACCUUUUACCGAAGUAAUGAACAACACUAGUAGUGAAAAUGCUUGCUGGGAGUAGGAGCUGAAACCCAUUUUAUGACUGAUUGAAGUGAAAGUAUUGUAUAUUCCGAUAAAUUUGAGUAAACUUUUUUAUUUUAUUUUAUGUUUUUUAAUGGUAGAUGGUAGAUCGAUCAUUGUAGAGAAAUUUAUAAGGUAGUGCGAGUGCAGUUCCUUCACCAAUUUUGAAUCUUCUAUUUAGGAUUUUAGGCUUUUAAAAAAAAAGAAACAACAUGUCUUGUUUUAGCAUUACUUUGGGAGUAACUUCCUAAUAAUAUAAUGUUGGCUGUAAAUUGUUUCAUUGGUCCAUUGAUUUCUUCGUUAUAGUAACUUUCACUGUCCUGUUUUUAUCAAAUUCUACAACUUGCAUAUCUCACAAUCCAAUUCUCGCUUUAUACGGUUACCAUCUCAGGGACAAUAAUAUCUUUGAUCAUAUAUCUCUAGCCAGGUCUCCGAAUUUUUCUUUAUGAAAUAAGUGAACCGAUAGCCGCUAGUUACUCCAAUUUCUAUAAGGAUUUUGUUCAAUGUAGUAACAAUUUAUAAAUAAUCUUUCAUGCAUUAUAACUAGAAAUUACAACUAAAAAUUAAAAAAAAAAUUAAAGAAUUGAAACGGAUUUGUAGUGUUCAUCAUUUCUCUGUGACGAGGCUUUUACUAUCUUUUACCACACAUGUGUUUAUUGAUUAGAAAAAUUAGUUACAUAUAAUUUUUAUUUUUGAAACCUUGUAAUUCAACUUAACUAGGAUUUUGUAUCUUGUACUUUUCCAACUUGGGUUCCGGCAACUUAAUAUUCGGAGUCCCAGUAGCACAAAGUAUUCAUUCAUAAUCAUUAACACAAGUCAGUCCACACAUAUCGUUAUACUGAUCAUCGUCUAAAGGUCUAGCUAAAUUAUGUAUUUAAUUAACUCCCUCUGUAGAUACUUCGAUUUUGGUAUCCUGGAUUUUGAUUUCGGUUGAUCUUGAAGAUGGCGGAUAAACAAUCAACAGCAACCAGCAGUAAUGCAUUGAGGAUCAACUUUGUAUCAGAAGAACAAUUGGAUGAAGCCAAAAAGACAAGAGGCAAAAGAGUUGAAGACGGGACAGCACAGAGAGACAGGCCUAUUCACGAGAUACUGAACGAGAACAAAGCCAAAAAGAAAAAGGAACUCGAGGACCGCCGGAAGCACAAUCCUCCGAAAUCCUUGGACGAAGACGAGUCCCAGUUUCUUGACGGAUGGGAGUCGUAUAAGAAGGAAAAAAAGCGGCGGCUUGCUGACGAAGAGGCCAUGGAGCUUCGGCGUUCCAGGGCAGCCGAGGCAUCACAAUGUGUUGCUUCCAAGGAAACAUUAACAAGCCAUGAUGAUGAUGCUCAUCAACAGAGAUUGAUUAUUGGGAAGAAGAAUCCAGCGUCUUGUCCCUUGAGCUCGAUUAUGAAAGUGGUGCCGCUGGCAAAGAAACCCAAGAAAGAUUUUCAAAGUGUAGCAGCAGAAUCUUCUUCAGGUACGUUGGAAAAGAUUGAUGCAGCUGAAAAAUUUCCCAAACCUGCAAUGCUAAAAAGAAAUAGGGGUGAUGCUGAUCAUAAUAAAUCCCCUGUAACAAUAAGUCUGGUUAUUACUAUAGUGAUAGCGAAGAUGAUGAUUGAGUACUAUAGUAUUUGUUUAUAUUGUUGUUAUUUCAGGAAAGCUUUGAUUUAUUUAUGCCUUCUGUUGUUCUUCUCACAAUCAAUUAGAAAUACUAGUCCAUACUUAACCUUUUUUUUUUUUUACUAUAUUGCAAUCAAAGGAUGGCUGAUAUUUAUAAUCAAAUAAUUCCUGAAAUUAUUCUACAUUAAAUCUAUGAAACACAACCAAAAUUUUCUUUUCACUAAUAGUAGAGAAAUAUCUAUUCUACUCACAUUUUGUGAGAAAAGGACUAACUCCACCCAACUUGUUCAUUAAAAAACUCAAUUAAGUACUUACUUUUUUUUUUCUCUGGCAAGUGACAAGUAAGUCCACAUGGAUUGUAUUUACCAUUUUGACGCAUUUUCUUUUUGCUAUAUUGAAAACAUUAAUUUCGGAUCACUCUUUUGUGGGAUGUUGAUCUUCAAAAUAUAUUACAAAUUAUUGUAAAUCUCAACUUACCUUCUAUUUUUCUAAAGAAGAUAAAAAAAUUUCAUCAAUCUACCCUCAUUUUUCAGUUAUCUUUUGAAUAAAAAUGAGAGUAAGUUGAAAUUUAUAAUAGUUUGGGGGUGUUUUAAAAUUUUUACUUCACAAGGGGAUAUUUCAAAAUUAGUUUGUAUUGAAAAUAGUAAUAAAGCACUUUUUAAUUAUUUGUAAGAUCUCUAAAGAUUUCAUCCUAAGUAAUAUGGUGGCAUCCAUCCAUUAGAUGGUAGAAAUGUGAAAUAAGAUUUUACAUUCUAAUGGAUGAAUGACAUAUAUCAAGAACUAAUACUAAAGAUCAAUAAAUAAAAUAAAAUUACGAAAGAAAGUUAUUCACAUUUUUCUCACUUUUGCUGAAAUAUUACACCAUGAUGCAAGCCGAAAUAAAUUGUCAAAAGUUAUAACAAUCAUAAAAUUAUUAGCCAGCAUAAGGUGAUUUAUUAAUUUGGGGUGUUUAUGAGUUCAAAUGUUGAAUGAGUAACAUAAAUGGUAUUGUUGGUAUUAAGCGAACCUCAAGGAUUCCCUUGAAAUUAUCCCCAAUAAUUUAUUAUUAUGAAUAAAAAAUAGCGAGCUUCCAGUGCUGGUGCUGUACAAGAGAAUGAGAUAACGCCUCUUUUGCUCCUAAUCAUUCAGCAUCAAACAAGAGUGCAGUGACGCGGUCUCUGUCUCACAGAGCACAAAUAUCCUUCAUCUUCAAACAAACAAUUAGCCAAGCAAGAAGCCAAAAAAGCCCAAUAAAAAAUGGAAGCUCUUUCAAGAAUUAGCUUCUUAUCAAACUACACUCGCUCUUAUUUCCCAAUAUUCUCUCCACUUCCUCAAACCCAGAAGCCGCUUUCCAAGAAAACAUCACCAUCUUCUCUCUUAAGAACAAGCACUCGUCCAGGUCAGCCACCAUCCUUUGCCCUUUUUUGUGACGCUUCCUAUGCUUGCCACUGAAUUCCCAUUUCAGCUUUUGUGUUUUUAUUUUAUCCUUAUUUGACUUCUUAGUGAGUGAAGUUGCUGAAGAGGAUAUUCUGCAAAUGUUCUUUAAAGAUAGAGAACUGAAUGGAGAUUUUAUUUCCAAAGCUUCUGAUAUGUUUUAGCUGAAGGGGGCUUCGAAAUUCGUUGGCUCUGAUGCUGAUACUGGCAAAUUUGCUAACAAUUCUGAACAAGCUCACCAGGUAGCUUUCUUGAUUUUGAUUCAUAAGAAUGUAUUGUAUUCUUUUUUUCGGCAAUUUCCAGUUUUAAUCUCUCUUCGUGUCCCCUGUGGUGGUGUAGAAGUAUGAUAAUUUCAAACAUUUCUGGUUUAUGGAGCAUCUUUGUCAGUACUGUUCGUGAUUCUUGGAGUCUCUUAAGUUCUGACUUUGGAGUAUGGACAGUGGAAUUGAUUCUACAACUAACAAUGGACCAGUUUAGCUGUUUCAAUGAGAAAUCUUCUAAAAUUGCUUAUUUAUUUAGUUUUUUGAAUAUCAAAUAAGAAGUUACUGAAGGAUAUAAUUAUGCCAAGUACAAAAAUAGCAAAUUGAUUCAUUCGAUAUCUUGAAGGAUUUUAAAACUUAGCCAAGCCUGUAUUCUGUUGGAAUUAGCAGUAGCAUGUGUACUCUCAUUCCUAGGCUUUUAUAAGACAUAAAUUACAGCCUGAGGUGCAGCUCCUAAUUACAAUUGAGGCUUAGACUGGGGUAGCACUGCUGUUUAUAGAAGGAGGACUUAUUCGUUCCCAGCAUUGUGAAAAGGUUCCAUUGAAAUUUGAGGCAGUUGACAAUGCAGAUGUCUUAUUCUGAUCUGUCCUAUGUCACCUCUUUAGCAUUAUACUGUGGCAUCAACUCCAUUCUUGACGCAUUUAUGAAUUCAAAGUGCAUACAUAUCUCCAUGCUGGUUUCAGCUACUCUCUGCUUUAAAGUUCCUUAAUUUAAUUGCUAAGUAUAACUGUAUAACAUUCUGUUCGUUCUGUGUCAUUCUGUUCGUUUUUAUUCUGGUGUCUUAGAUGAUUUGUUGUGCUUCUGCUGUCAUUGAUGGUAUGUAUAUUGUAGGUCAUAGAAAGUGACAAUGAUGAUGGAUUUUUGAAACUCUCGAAAACCCGUGAGUGGCUAUUAGGUGACAACUCUGCACCAAUCAAUAAGAAACCUUCUGCUAAGGUAUGCAUUUUGUUGGCUAUCAUUAAAUUAUAAUGAGCUUGCUUGAAAACACUCUCUCCCAUCUCUCCAUCCUCCUUCCCUCCUUUUCUCCCCAUUUCAGCAAAGCAGGGGAAUUUGUUUUAAGUUUUAUAUCUGCAAUUUCUUACUGCUAACCGAUGCAUGUAAAUACAGGCUUUGCAGGAUGACAGUGAAAGAAGGAAGAGACUGAACUUUCUUAAAUAUGAAGCUGUAUGAUACUUCUCUUGAAAUUAGAAUUUCUCAUGGUUAGUUGGUUGUUGAUGUGAUGUCAAUGCCUGAAAUUGGGAUCUUUCUGUUCGGUUCUAAUUCCACUAUUUCUUUUAAAAAGUUAGAUUCUCUUACAUUUGAAAGUUAAAUUGUUUGUUGUUAUCUAACUAACUUAGAAAGAGCUGAUUAAUAAAUGAACAUAUUGUAUAAGUACGUGCAAGGGUGGACUGGUUUUUCUCCUUUUGGUUCUAGGGGUAUGAUUUCAUUAUACUUAUAUCUGUAGCUUUAAUCUUGCAAGCUGAAUGAGCUGAUGUUCACCAUGUGACUCUGUUUUGAUUAAAGGUUGUUUAUAUAUUCUUCUGUUAGCAAAUGGCGCUUUGAGAGAUGUCUGUUUGCAAAGGAAGCUGUAAAUUUGGUUACUUAACCUUCUGUUUUGAAACCAUAUUUCUCCAAUUCAAUUCCCAGGUAACUGGGAUAGGACUUAAUAGAUUCAGUUUUAUGUUAAAGUUGGUAAAUGUUAAUAGAACUAAGGGUUCACAGAUUUGGUAUGGUACCUGUAUGCUUUUAUUUUUCUAUUUGUAUUGGUUAGAUGUGGAGUGGUAACAUAAUAGGGAAAUGGAGCUAGUUUGAUCAAGUUGUCUUGUAUUUGGAUUUUCUGAUGUGUUACCUGGAUUAUUAGAAAAUUGUAUUUAUGCUUCUUGUUAUAGCACGAUUGUUGUUAUGUUUGAUUUACAUGCCUUGCAGACAAGGUACAUGUUAGACUCUGUAGUCUCUGCUCUUUUCUCUCUGCUCAAACUUUUAGGUUGUGUGAUAAAUUAACAAUGUUAGUACAAUGUUAGUACCUAAAGGCUUGCUUCUGCGCCAUAGUACUACCAAAGUUGUCUAAGAUGCUGGUUUUUGUACUUCGAUCUUGCAGCUCAAGAGUGAACUGAUGCUUUUGUCAGUUGGCAUUGGAACUGCAUAUAGUGGUUAUUGUUUGAUAAUGCUCUCAGUCCAGGUAAUAUCUUGACAGAAAUUUAAAGCACAGUGUUUAAAGUUUAAAAAAUUUUUAAUAUCAGACCUUUCUCUAGCUUAUUUAAUAGAAGUCUGGAAUUUUGCACUCUGUUAUUUUGCUGAAAGAUAUGAUUGGAAAUAAAUAUGAGGAUCUGGUGACAACGGCUCUAAACUACUUUUUGAUUAUAUUUUCAUCUAUUUUCAGUAGUUGACUGUACAAAUUGCGACAGAGUAGGCAAAUUUUUUUUUUCUCUCUCCCUAUUCUACUUUAUUGAAUGGAUUCAUGUACUUUCUUUAAAUGUAAAGUAAGAUAUUCGUGAAAUAUUGUAAAUUUUGGUUUUAUAUAGAAAUGACCUUAUUAAUUUUAUAGGUGGCUUUUAGCUAUAUGGUUGGGGUUCUUUUCAGGUAAGCUGAUCUUUUAUUUUUCAUUAUUUAUAUAUAGUGUUUUUUGAUAGAAAACAUAGAAACUUGUAUUGAGAAUAAAAACAUGUACAGAAAGUGAACAAGGAGUCCGCAAAUAAAGAACCCCUAAAGAUCACAAAAAGUCCAUGCAGUUCAAUGCUGACCAGAUGACCAAAAAAGUAUAGGAUCUAUAUGAAUAAAUGAUCUCACAACAAAAACAAGCUCAAAAGCACAGAAUUACGCCAACACCCCUUACAGUUUAGAUGAAUGAAGAAUAAAGAAGAAUCUUGAAAUUCCUUUGUUAAUGAUGCCCAAAGAAAAGCUAGUAAUCCCACUCUUUCCCACAAAAAGAUGAUGUCUUCCUCAGAAUCUUAAAAACAAUCUUUAAUUUCUUUAAAGCCAAAUCACCCAAAAAGUGGCCAGAACUGAACAUUUCCAUGACACUCUAGCUUUUUUACCUUUCCCAAAAGCAUCAAUAAUCUCUGAAAGCUGAGAAAUGCUAGAAGCCGGAAUCACUCAAGAAAUUCUAGCUGCCUGAAACAAUGAACGGCAUUGUGACAAUGCAAAAACAAAUGAUCUGCUCUUUUGCUAUUUCUCUUGCACAUGACACACCAAGAAGGACAAGCACACAUUAUGAUUCCAUCUUUGAAUGGCAUAGUUUACCUAGAGCCAAGGACCAAACAAAAAGUGGAACUUUACUAGGGUCUUUAGCAUUCCAAAUCACUGGGUAAGUUGAUCUAUUUUAACUAAGGAUAAUAUUUGUCAAAUAAUACCUUGAUGAGCCAGUUUUCAAAAUCAAAGCUCAGUGCUGAGUCCUAGAUUUUGAGCUACGACUCAAAAGGAAGGUUUAUGAAUAAUAACAAUACUAAGUACUGCAAUCAGUUGUCGAAAAGAAUGGUAGAUUCUGCUGUUUCAGUUACUUUGACAGAAAACUUUUUCAUCCAAAUUUUUACUUGCCAAUAAUGUAAAAAUAAGUGUAUAACGAUAUUAUAAUGCAAGGAAACCAUGAUAAUGUGAUAUGCAAAGUUUCUAUAGAAAAUUACUGUUAGUCAUCCACAGGAGUUUUUGGCCUAAAAAAUCAAUAGCUGGAGAAAUGGCUCAUGGGGUUGAUGUCUUCUAUCAAAUAUUCUUGAUUUAGUGAACUCCCUUGAAUGUUUUCGCUGUGGAGGAAUUAUCUUUGUGUGGUCUAAUUGGUACUCCAAAUAUCUCAGAAAAUUUAAAGAUAUCGCUCAUUUUCUAGUUUAGGGGAGUAAAAAACUCCGAGUAGUGCUUUUAGCACAUUUUUUGAUAGAAAACCGAAAAAAGGUUUAGUAACAGCAGGAGACCAUCUGUUCGUAUUACUGAUCCUAAUUCUGAUAGUUUAAUAAACCUCAUUUCCAGUGCAGUUGCUUGUACCUUCAGCUCUUAUACCAGCAUGCAGACCGGCUGUCCAAGGACAUGGUUCCUCAGAUUUUCAUGCGAAAGAAGUCCAAGAAGUACAUAUUAAAGCUUCUGCAUUUUUUUUUUCUUCCCCUAAUGGCGCCGUUGUAGCUAAGUUAUUCUCUGUCUCCCCCUUGAUUAAGCAAACAUUUCCUUUUCUUUUGUAGAAUUGGAAUUAGAAGUGAGGACCUUAAGGACUUCUUAGAGAGAUCAAUCAAGGGAAGUAGCCUUGCUCUUUCGUCUCCAAGGCUUGUGAUCCCGGUUACAAUAUAUGGUUUGUGGGUUCUGUCUCAUCGGUAUUUAGCCAAUGACUUCUUUGAUUUCCAGGUAGCAAUUAAAAGAACUUUUAUUGUUGUCUUCAGCUGUUUGUAUAAAUUUUCAAAUUAAUCAUGAAGCCCUCAAACUAUUAACAUAAGUUGUGUUUAUUAAUUUGCCCAUUGGUUCCUGUUUAUUGCAGAUUGUUCCAGCCAUGGUUGGCAUGUUUGUAUAUAAGGCUGCUGCUCUUGUUCAAGUUUACAGAGACAACGAAGACUUGCAAUUAGUUUUUCCAGAAAAUGAGGAAGGUUCAAGUGACUGAAAUUAUCCAUAUUAGCUCUUGGAGUAUUUCAUUUUGAUUCUGAAAUAUUUUGAAGCGGAAGGCGUUCCCAAAGACUAAUUUCUGCAGGCUACCAUCAAGCUUCUAGUGGAAAAAGCACCCCAAAAAUCUAAGUGGAAUGAUUCAUUUUCCCGAGUGGCUCUAUAGGCAAAGUUGACUGGUUAAAGUCGAACUUCAGAGACUUGUAGGGAACUGUCAGGCAUCUCUUCCAAACUCCAACUUUUAUCCAAUCUUUUUAUUGACAUGAGAUAAUGACUGCCCAAAAAAAUUGUUCUGAUGGAUGAUAUAGAACCAUCUGAGUUUGUAAUGCUUUCACGGUUUUUGUUUGCUUUAACUAUGUAGUUUGUACUCAAAAUCAUGUAUCAUUUAGGAAGGGAAUGAUUGCAGUGUUUGUAGCAAAACUCGAAUCAAAAUAGAAGAUUAUAAUGCUUGUUCAAGAUGCUUUUCUUUCCUUUUUUUUUUUUUUGACAUAAAAGGAAGUCUUGCUAAAUAAUAGGUUUGUAAACAAUCCCAAACUGUUCUUGAUAAGCAAUACAGGAUGAAUAUGGAUCGAUUUAUUAGAAUAGCUCUCUGAUUUAGCGUAAAAUGUGUCUAAUUUUAGAGGGUCCAAUCUUGCCACUUUAUUGUAUAAUACUUCAUUUCUUGUUUAGAGGACAUUAAACAACAAUUUAAUAGAAAAAGCAUAAAACAAACACUGAUAAACAUGAAAAACUCUAGUAACAUUUUCUUACAGAGCAUCCAAAUCUAUCGACGCAGCCAUCCAAGAAAUAACAGUAUUUGUACCUCCAUCUUCUGUUGAUAAGCAAAGGGCCCAUGAAACACCAAAAACCCAACACAAAUCCAAGUGCCAUGCUUACAUACAACAACCAGUCAACUUCAUCUUCAUCUUCGUUUCCAUUUUCAUUUCGAUCUUCAGGUACAAGAGCAUUCUUCUCGGGACAAUUAGGAAGUGGAGCUCCGCAGAGAUUGUUCCCGGCAAAACUGGAUGCAUCCAUGCUUUGCAAUUGAGUGCUUGAAGGAAUUUUCCCAGUCAAGUUAUUGUAGGAUAGAUUCAAGUGAUUCAGAAAUGAUAAACUUGACAUACUUUGAGGAACUUUACCAGACAGUUGGUUCAUUGAGAAAUCGAGGGAUUCAAUUGAUCUCAUAUUUCCAAUAUUCUCUGGAAUUUUUCCCGUAAAAAGGUUGUGGGAAAAAUUUAAUGACUGCAAUCCCAUAAGAUUUGUCAGUUCCUUUGGUACUUCUCCUGAGAAAUUAUUAUUGGAAAUGUCCAUGAUUCUUACCAAAUUAAGAAUGGUGUUAUAUUCAACCAUAAACCCUUUCGUCACAACUGAUGCAUCCUCAAAGACAUCUGAGACGCCUCCCCUUAUAUAUGAUAUUGCAUUAUCUUGAUCAGGUGAAUUCGCUGCCGCCAUAGCAGUGAAGUUAUUGAUGCAUCUUGGUAUGAUCCCUGAGAGACUGUUAUGUGCAACGUCUAAAAUUUGGAGAUAAUUUAGACGACAAAGUUGAAUUGGCAAAGACCCAUGAAGCUUGUUUGAUCGAAGAUUGAGAAUCGAUAAACCUGAAAAUCUUUCUCCCAUCCAUAUUGGAAUGUCGCCAACAAACUCAUUUUCACCCAUGUCCAGUACUUUCAAAUUUGAACAAUUUUGAAUUGGCACAGGAAUUAUUCCAACCAUUCUAUUAUUGCGAAGGUUCAAUAAUUCAAGAGAACUUAAAGUUCCAAUUGAGAUAGGAAGGCUACCAGAAAAGUUGUUGUUACCUAAAUUCAGCACAAGCAAGUUAGGCCAGUUCAUCCAACAAUCAGGUAUAUCUCCAGAAAAAUAAUUUUUCGAGAGUUUGAGAUAUACGUAAAUGUUGUCCGCCUCAUUCUCCCUCUUACAUAUUAAAUGGAAAAUGGAUCCUGACAAAGCAUUGUUGGAAAGAUCAAGUAGACCCGGGGAAGGUACAAGAGGCAAUGGGCGGUCACAAUUUGGAAUCUCACCAUAGAUUUGGUUGGUAGAGAGAUUCAAGUACACGUACUGGGAAAUGGAAUUCCAAAACCAACGGGGAAUAGUAUCUGAAAUUCUUGUGUUGGAUAUGUCUAGAAUGAACAAAUGCUUUUGGGAACGAAGCCACGACGGAAAUUGAGGCCCUAAAUGACAUGACCUCAAUCUUAGUUUUUCGAGUUGAAAAGGAGGAACCCAACUCUGAUUGACUUUGAAGAUUAGCGAGUUUCCAAAUGCAGAAAAUGAGGUCAAUUUUGUUAGGUUGACGAAGUGAAUUUCAGAAAGAGUUCCAUUCAACCUGUUGUUGGACAAAUCCAGAAGUUCUAAGUGUGAUAAUUGUCCCAACGACAUUGGAAUAGCACCAUCCAGCGUGUUAUUGAAAAGAUCUAAGUUUGUCAUCGAUGAAAGUUCUCCUAGAGCAGGUGGAAGGGGACCUGAAAGAGAGUUAUCUCUCAAUUCAAGAGUGUGCAGACUUUUAAAUUGCCCGAGUUGAUUUGUCAAGUGACCAGAAAUGUGACAACCGCUCAAAACCAGUGACUCUAGUGCAUAUGCACCACAUGACGAGAAGAUAUCUAAGACUUGUGAUAAAUCUUGACCCAAUUUGACAUAUGAGACGUCUAUUGAUGUUAACUUACAAAGUCUUACAAAUGAUGUUGGAAUCUGCCCUCCAAGUUCUACAUUGAAAGAAAGGUCGAGAGUUUUGAUAGAAGUCAAUUUUUCUAGACCCAUUGAUGAAAUCGUACCUUGCAAGCUAUUACCUCUAAGAGAAAGGAACUCAAGAUCAUUAAGCUUAGACAACCAGCCAGGUAUUGCAGAAUUGAAUUCAUUAGAAGAUAAAUCAAGAUGUCUAAGAAACGUCAAGUUUCCUAGUCCACUGGGGAUUUUACCAUGAAAUUCAUUAUCGCUAAGAUCGAAAAAGACUAAAUUACGAAGACCAAAAACCCAACUACUAUAUUGAAACAAAGAGUUAUUAAAAUGAUUUCCAGAAAGAUCGAGAGCCUUAAGGGAGGAAAAAUUAGUAGAGGGUAAUGAAGGAAAGUGAUGGAGUUCACAGUAGGACAACUUUAAUACUUUUAAAGAAGGGAGUGAGUUUAUCGUCACUAAACCAUCAGAGGAUUUAGUAAGGUCAACCAGACUCAGAUCGAGGUGCUCUAGAAAAGAAAGACCAGAAAGCCAUGAAAUACUUUCAACUUGUAACUCAUAAUAACUCUUACUAAGGUCAAGAUAUUGAAGAUUAGAGAUAUUUCCAAGUUGGUGAGGAAUCACUCCUGCAAAUUCGGCUCCAGAGAGAUUUAGGUAUCUAAGGUUCUUAAGAGAGCCAAGAUACGAGGGAAUUUGAAUUCCCUGGAAAUCAUUAUCACUUAAGUCCAAGUGAAUCAAAUGCUUUAAGUCAAACAAAGAGGGAUUUAUCUUACCAACCAGCUUUGACCCCGUGCCAUAAUUAGGAUUAGGGUUUCCGAGGUUGAGCUGAAGCACAUGGCCAGUAAAGUUGUUACAAACAACACCAUCCCAUGCACAGCAAUCUCCAUCACCAAUAUUCCAAGAGGCAAGACGGUUUGAAGGAUCACUGAGAUCUUGCUUCAACUUUAAAAGCGCUUGUCUCUCACUGUCUACGCAAACCACGUUAGGGUUGCCAGUGCAGAAGCUGAUGUUGAUCAUGGUAACUAAAGUAAACAACUCAAGAAAGAGAAGGGCAACAAAAACAUCCAUAGUUGAUUUCAUUGCUGUGGCUAGUGAUGAAUUAAUUAUGGGGAAAGGAAGUGUGCUUAUGAUGAGAAUGUUAUUAUAUUGCUUGAUAUUUAUAAUGCCCUCCGUUUGCCCAUAUGACACGUUUGCAUCAAUCGAAUUUGGUACGUAAUAGUAUGAUCGAAAAGGAUUUAUGAUCUGAGUCUCACAUUUCUGCAAGAAAUUUCCCUGCUCGUUGCUUUGGAUCAUCAUCAAGUCUUCUAAGUCAUCAAUUAACUGUUUGCUGUGGCCCCUCGGUGGACUUUGAACUUGCAUUAUUACAGUGGGAGAUACAAACAAAGAAACCAAAAAAAAAAAGAGUUUUAAAAAAGGAAUUGAAUGGUUAAAAUGAUAUACUGUAAAGUUUAGAGUAAUAGGCUAAUUAUGAAGUUUCAGAGUUUUAUGUUGUAAUUUUUGUUAUAAGUUUCGUCUCAACUGCGAUGGUUAGGUUUUGAAUCAAAUACUUUACAAGGCGUUUCAUUUGUAAUAGUUUUCAUUUCUGUAGGACAAUAAAUAUUCUCGUUUGAUUCGUUUUUUUUACUUAGUCUCUAAAUUUAUUUCGCCGGGUUAUCCGGAAUGUGUUUAACUCGUAUAGUAUAUUUUGUCUCUCUGUUAAUUUGGGCCGACAAGAACUAAGGAAAUAUAUUGACCACCUCCUUCGCUUGUCGGCAAGAACUUUCGUGCUCAAUGCUUCGGGUCUUUAAAUUCUCAAUGUCAUUGACUUCUGUGGCUCCUCCAGUGGACUUGCGUUUUGCAUUUUUAGUUAAGGGAAAAAAAAGGUCUUGGCUAUUUUAUGGCAUUGAAUAGUCAUUAAAAUAUUUAAUUACUAGUAUAUUAUUAAUAUUUAAAAAAAACUAAAAUUUAUCUUUUUAUCGAGAAAGUUCAUCUUAAGAAUGGUAGAAAGGCUCGAUCCAAUCAUUGACCAAAUUGAUUCAACCAUAAUUUUUAUGACUUUAGCCCAAACUUAAGGAGUUAAUGAUUGGGUUAGGGCUCAAGGAAUCAGACCCAAUAUAGGGCCUUAUCAAAAGACUCAGACCCGAUUCUUAAAUUAAUUUUUAAAAUUAAAAAAAUAUAAGAAUUGAAAGUACAUACGCAUCAUACAUGUGUAUUUUGUACUUGAUUUAUUUACUUGUUAAUUUGGUUAGAUUUUACAUGUUGUAUUGUUGUUAAAGCUAAAUAAAAAAUUAAUUUAUUAAAUUCCUUACAACCAAAAUAAAAAAAAACAUGAAAUAAUAUUAUCAAUUAAAAAAGAAUGAAGAAUUGGAGCAUUAUUCUAAAAUGUUGUGAAAGCGUGUGGUUGAACAAUUACUAAUAUUACAAUGACUGUGAUUUUUGGAGAUAUAUAAAUGUGGUAAUAAAUAAAUGCAAAGAAAAUAAGACACAAUAAUUUACAUGGUUCGGCAUAAUGCUUAUAUUCACGGACAAAGACUAGAAGAUAAUUUUACUAAUAAUGAGAAUUUACAAAAUUGAAAAAAACUCACAAAACCUAAUACUCAAUACACCCAAAUAGAUCCCCUUAACAUCCAAAGAAACCCUCCUCUAAAACUCACUUAAAACAAACUUUGAUCUCACAAAUUUUAUAGGAAGUAUUACUCACCUACCACACGACUUCAAUUUGACUUGGCCAAAUUGAUAAAUUUGGCAAUCAAUGCCAACUUUUUCAUGCAAUGCAUGCUAGCUGUCUGAUGCAAUUAUUCAAUUUGGACUUGACUCUUCAACAUAAAAGAAGCAUCUAAGAAUUAAAAAACAAGAAUUAAAAAUUAAAAAACAAAGAAUUAAAAAAAAAAGUCCGAGUGGGGCUAGCAAGAAUUAAAAAACAAGAAUAAAAAUUAUGGUGGGGCUCGGAUAAAGUCCGAGUACAACCCUAAUUUGUAGGGUAAGGCUUUUUAAGGGUUAGGACCCUUCAUUUUACAAAACUGAGCCCAACCCGUCCCCUUCCAAAGCCUAGUUCCUCCAGCACUGCACCUUGCAGGCUUGCACCCGAAUUAGACGCAUGGAUGAUAUACUUUUUGGCUAUUGGAACAUAAGGGAACAUUUACUUUCCUUUUUUAGAAUUGGAAUAAGAAGUGAGUACCCUAACGACGUGCUAGGGAGAUCAAUCAAGGGAAACAGCGUUGCUAUUUCAUCUCCAAGGCUCGUGAUCCCGGGCACGUGGGUUCUGUCUCAUCAGUAUUUCGCCAAUGACCUCUUUGAUUUCCAGAUAGCAAUUAAAAUAAUUUUUUGUGUUGUCUGUAACUGUUUGUAUAAAUUGUCAAAUUGACCAUGAAGCCCUCAAACUACAAGCAUAUGUUUAUUAAUUUGCUGAUUGGUUCCUGAUCUUCGCAGAUUGUUCCAGCCAUGGUUGCCAUGUUUGUGUAUAAGGCUGCUGCUCUUGUUUAAGUUUGCAGAGACAACGAAGACUUGCAAUUUGUUUUUCCGGAAAACGAGGGUAUUUCAUGUAACUGAAAUUAUCCACAUUAGUGAUCUCUUGGAAUAUUUCACCUUGAUUCUGAAAUAUUUUGAAGCCCAAAAAGCUUUGCAAAGAAUAGUUCAGUUUCCUGAGUGGCUCAAAAGUAAAGUUGAUUGAUUAAACGUAAACUUCAGAGAUUUAUAGGCAACUAUCAGGCAUGUCUUCCAAUCUUAUACCAAACUUUCCAUUGCAUACCACGAGAUGAUAAGUGCUUAAACAAUAUGUAAUGAUGGAUGAUAUGGAACCAUCUGAGUUUCAAGUACUUUCACAGUUUAGGGGCUUUUAGCACGAUAGAGUUGAUAAAUUUGAAUUGUCAGUAGUCAUUUGUACUGGGAUGUCAAUCGUCAAAGUUGUUUGUGAGAAUAUGGGCAAAAUAUUUAAAUGUAAGUUUCUACAUUUCUGCAUUCUAUAGAAGCAAAAAGCUUUUUAUUCCGCAAUGGAAGAGUGUAAGACUUGUAUAUCAGGGUAAUUUUUUUUUUUCAAUUUUCUUCAUCUUUUGAGACAAAGAAACAUAAAUUUUAUGUAAAACUGAACCAUUAGGUUAACAGCUAUCUGAUUUGGUUCUAAAAUUUAAUUUACGUUAGCAUAAAAUUCAGUUAAUCACGACCCAUGGUAACCAUGAUUGAUCUAAUGGUUGAAACAUAGUGUCAAAAAUUAUAUAAUUUUAGAGGGUUCCAAUGUCCAAUCCUUCCCCUUUAUUGUGUAAGUAAUUCAUUUCUUGUUAAAAAUACAUGAAACAACAGAGUACGUACAAACAUGAAGAAAUCUACUAAAAUUUACUUACAAAGCAGCCAAAUCUAUCCAUACAGCCAUCCAAGAAACGACAGUACUUGUACCUCCAUCCUCUGUUCAAAAGUAGAGGGCCUAUGAAGCACCAAAAACCUACCACAAAUCCAACUGCAAUGCUUACAUACAACAACCAGUCCACUUCAUCUUCAUCUUGCUCGGCAUUUCCGUUUGGAUCUUCAGGUGCACGUGCAUUGUUCUCAGUACAAUUAGGAAGUGGAGGUCCGCAGAGAUUGUUUCCAACAAAACAGGAUGCAUCAAAGCUUUGCAAUUGAGUGCUUGAAGGAAUUUUUCCAGUCAAGAGAUUGUUGGACACGUUCAAGUGAUUCAGAAAUGACAAACUUGACAUACUUUGAGAAAUCUUACUAGAAAGUUGAUUCGUUGAGAAAUCAAGAGAUUCAAUUGAUAUCAAAUUACCAAUAUUCUCUGGAAUUUGCCCAGUAAAAAUGUUGUGGGACAAAUUCAAUGAUUGCAAUCCCCUAAGAUAUGUCAGUUCCAUAGGUAUUUCUCCUGAGAAAUUAUUCUUGGAAACAUCAAUGAUUCUUACCAAAUUAAGAAUGGAGUUAUAUUCAACCAUAGAUCCUUUCAUCACAAUUGAUGCAUCCUCCAGAACCUCACAGUCGUAGGCUGUUACUUCAAAGUAGGACAUAGCAUUACUUUGAUGAGAUGAGUCAAUUGUUGCCAUAGCAGAAAAGUUAUUAACGCAUCCCGGCAUGGUCCCUGAGAGACUGUUAUUUGCAACAUCUAAAAUUUGUAGAGAAGUUAGACGACAAAGUUGAAUCGGUAAAAAGCCAUCAAACUUGUUUGAUCGAAGAAUGAGAAUCAACAAACUUGUAAAUCCUUCUCCCAUCCAUGUUGGAAUCUUGCCGACAAACUCAUUGUCACCCAAGUUAAGUACUUCCAAAUUUGAAAAAUUCUUAAAUGACUCAGGAAUUAGUCCAGACAAUCUGUUAUUGCGAAGGUUCAAUGACAAAAGAGAACUUAAAGUUCCCAUUGAGAUCGGAAGGCUGCCGCUAAAGUUGUUGUUACCUAAAUUCAACACAUGCAAGUUAGGCCAAUUCAUCCAACAAUCAGGAAUGUCCCCAGAAAAAUUAUUUUUUGAGACUUUUUGAAAAUAAAUGCUGUGUGACUUAUUCUCGCCGUUGCAUAUGAAAUGGAUCAUGGAUCCCGACAAAGAAUUAUUGGAAAGAUCAAGUAUGGGCCUUAAAGCAGGUGUAUGGGGCGGUAGAGGGUCAAAAUCCGGAAUCUCACCAUAGAUUUGGUUGCUAGAGAUAUUCAAAUACUCAUACUGAAAAAUGGAAUUCCAAAACCAACGAGGAAUAGUAUCUGAAAUUCUUGCAUUGGAUAUAUCCAAAACAGAUAAAUUCUUUUGUGAAUGAAGCCACGAUGGAAAUUGAGGUCCUAAAUGACAUGACAUCAAGAGCAAUGUUUUGAGUUGGAAAGGAGGAACCCAAUAGGGAUUCACUUGCAAGAUUAGCGAGUUUCCUGAUGCAGAAAACCAAGUCAAUUUUGUUAGAUUGACAAAGUGAAUUUCAGAAAGUGUUCCAUUCAUCUUGUUGUUGGACAAAUCUAGAUAUUCUAAGUGUGAAAUUUUUCCCAAAGACAAUGGAAUAGAACCAUUCAGCAUGUUUCUAGAAAGAUCUAGUCUUGUCAAAGAUGAAAGAUCUCCUAAAGCAGGUGGAAGUGGACCUGAAAUGCAGUUGUCAUCUAGGGAAAGUGUGCGCAGACUUUUAAAUUGGCCGAGUUGACUUGUCAAGUGACCAGAAAUUUGACUACUGCUCAAAACCAGCGACUCUAGUGCAGACGCACCACAUGCAGAUAAAAUAUCUAAGACUUGUGAUAGGUCUUGACUCAAUUUGACAUCCGAGACAUCAAUUGAUGUCAACUCACAAAGUCUUACAAAUGAUGUUGGAAUCGGCCCUCCAAGCUCAAAAUUUAAGGAAAGGUCGAUUGUUUUGAUAGAAGUCAAGUUUUCAAGACCAAUUGAUGAAAUCGUACCCUGCAAGCCAUUACUACUAAGAGAAAGGAACUCAAGAUGAUUAAACUUAGACAACCAGCCAGCUGUUGUAGAAUUGAAUUUGUUUGCAGAUAAAUCAAGAUGUCUAAGAGACGUCAGGUUUCCCAGUCUGUUGGGGAUUUGACCUUCAAAUUGAUUAUAGCUCAGAUCCAUAAUGACUAAAUGACGGAGACCAAAAACCCAGCUGCCGUAUUGAAAAAAAGAGUUAUGAAAAUAAUUUUGGAAAGAUCGAGGGCGUUAAGAGAGGAAUAAUUUCCAGAGGGCAAUGGAGGAAAGUGAUGGAUUUCGCAGUCAGACAACUUUAAUACUUUUAAAGAAGGGAGUGAGUUUAUCACCAGUAACCAAUCAGAGGCUUUAUUAAGGUUCAUCUGACUAAGAUCGAGGUGUUCUAGCAAAGAUAGACCAGAUAGCCAUGAAAAACUAUGUACUUGCAACGCAUAUUCCGACCAACUGAGAUCAAGACAUCGCAGAUUAGAGAGAUUUCCAAGUUGGUGAGGAAUUAUUCCUGCAAAUUCGGCUCCAGAGAGAUUGAGAUAUCUUAGGUUCUUAAGAGAACCAAGAUAUUUGGGAAUCCGAAUUCCCUGAAAAUCAUUACCGCUUAAGUCCAAGUGAGUCAAAUGCUUUAAAUCAACCAAAGAAGGAUUUACAUUACCACUCAGCAUUGACCUCAUGUAAUCUUCAUAUUCAGUAGUGGCAUAUCUGAGAUCAUUUCUGAAAGGAUUUCGCAGGCUGAGCUGAAGGACAUGGCCAGUAAGGUUGCUACAAACAACUUCAGCCCAUUUGCAGCAAUCUCCAUCAACAACCCAAGAGCCAAGACGGUUGGAAGGAUCUUUGAGAUCUUGUUUCAACUUUAAAAGCGCUUCUCUCUCACUGUCUGUGCAACCCACGUAAGAGUUGCCACUGCAGAAACUAGAUAUUGCAAAUAACUCAAGGAAAACAAGGGCAACAGAAACACUCAUUGUUGAUUUCAUUGCUGUGGAUAGAAAUCAGUUAAUGAUAAGAAAAGGAAGCGUGCUGAUGGGAAAUGUUAUCAUCUUGCUUGCUAUUUAUACUCAAUUUGGAAUUAAAUGUUUCACAAGUGAAAACACUUUAGCGUUGCGGCAAAGAAAUUUCAACGCAUUCACACGUCUUCCCUCAGUGGACUUGCAAUUUUUAUUAUUAUAAAGUGGACGAACGUGACACACGAGGCAUCCUUAAGCCGACCCCCUAACAUAUAAAAAUUAUGAACGUGACACACUUGUCAUUAAUAAGCCAGCCCCCUGAUAUGUUAAUUUGUAGUUAACAAGUGAGCUAGAGUUGAGAAAGAAAGACGAGAGGAAGUUUUGCAAAAGCUUAAACUUAUAUUCAUUUAUUCCAUGAGCUACACAUAUAUAUAGUCUCUGAACUAAACACUUAAGCUAGAAAAUAGAAUAACAGUAGCAGAUAAUCUGGAAAAUAACUAACUGGUGCCGAAAAAUCAGCACUCGAGAUUAUUCAACGGAACCACUAAGGUCUAACAAACUUGACCAAGUCUUGAUGAUGACCAAAUCUUCCACUCACUCUCCUCCCGUUUUAAAGUUGAAGACGUGCAUGCAAUCCCAAGCAUUUUCAUACGUCCCAUGCAUUUCCAUACAUGGUCUGAAGGCAUGCAUGCAAUCCCCAUGCACACGAGCACAUAUCAUUCCCCCCCACUCACAACAUCCUUGUCCUCAAGGAUGAAAUCAGGGUAUGUCUUGGCAAAACGCCACUCAGUUUCCCAGGUGGCAUCCUCCACUGGCGCACAAGCCCAUUUAACCAAUAGCUGAGGUUUUGGGCGAUAAUUACCUUUACGUAUCACACGCCGACCCAAGAUAGCCUCAGGCUAUGGAAGAAGUGUUGAAGUUUCUGACACUGGAGGAAGUCGGGGAGAAGCAAGUGGUACGGAUCCCAAAUGCUUACGUAGUAGACUAACAUGAAAAACAUUAUGGAUUUGAGAACCAAGCGGAAGAGCCAACUUAUAAGCAACCGAGCCCACCUUUUCAAUGAUUUGAUACGGACCAAAAUAACGUGCAGCAAGCUUCAUGGAGCCACGAAAGGCCACUGAUGUCUGCCGAUACGGCUGUAACUUUAAAUACACAUAAUCCCCCACGUGGAAAUUUACUUCUCGUCGAUGCUGGUCCGCUUGAGAUUUCAUACGGUCCCGAGCCCGGAAAAGGUUCUACCGUAACUCAUGCAAAAUAGAAUCCCUGUCUCGCAAGUAUUCAUCCACUGCUUGGACCCGCGAAGUACCCGGUACAUAUGUUAAUAAGCUUGGGGGCGGAAUGCCAUAGACAGCUUCAAAGGGCGAUAGUUUGGUGGACGAAUGAAUGGCUGUAUUAUAGCUGAACUCAGCCCAGGGGAUCCAUUCCAGCCACUUCCGUGGCUGAUCGCCUGCAAAACAGCGUAGAUACUGUUCCAAGGUGCGAUUGACCACCUCAGUUUGGCCAUCAGAUUGUGGGUGAUAACUAGAACUCAUGCAUAACUUGGUCCCUUGCAGUUGAAACAGAGUACGCCAAAACGAACUGAUAAAUACCUUAUCUCGGUCACUAACAAUCGAAGUGGGAAUACCGUGUAGACGAACCACAUUGCUGACAAAUGCCUUGGCUACAAUUAUAGCAGUAAAAUGGUGCUUUAAGGGCACAAAGUGGGCAUACUUCGUUAACCGAUCCACGACCACCAUGAUGACGGUGUACCCAUUAGAAGAUGGUAACCCUUCUAUGAAAUCCAUUGAAACGUCAGUCCACAUUUGUUUCGGAAUGGGUAGCGGCUGUAAUAGUCCGGCAGGCCUUAUAUUAUCUACUUUAUAUCGUUGGCAGAUGUCACAAUGUUGCAAGAAUUCUUUCACCGUCCGCCUCAUGUUGGGCCAUAAAAACCUACGCUUGAUGCGAGCAAGAGUUUUAUGGUAACCGAAAUGCCCACCUACAGGAGAUGCAUGACAGUCGGAGAUUAUCUUAGGAAUCAGUGAGGAAGUGGAACUCAAGUAAACUCUAUCACGUUUGAACCAAACUCCAUCUCUCUGUAACAACUGGUUAGACUGAGACGAGCUCCUCUGAGAUAGGCCUUCAUAAAACGUGUCCUGCUGUACCUCCCGUUGAAGAACUGGCCACCAAUUUGCAUGGGGUAACGAAAUUGCUAAAAACUCCACCAUUCGAGAUAAUGAAUCGGCACCCUGAUUCUCAGCCCCCUUUUUAUAUUCAAUUUCAUAAUCAUACCCAAGGAUCUUAGGUAGCCAUCGAGUUUGUGCUGGUGUUGUGAUCCGCUGUUCCAACAGAUAUUUGAGACUUUUUUGGUCAGUUCGAAUGGUAAAUGGUUUCCCGAGUAAAUACGGUCGCCAUUUGCGGAUUGAUUUAAUGAUAGCAAGCAUUUCUUUUUCAUAUGUGGACAACGCCAAAGCAGAACCUUUUAAGGCCUCACUAAAAUAAGCUACUAGUUUGUUUUGUUGAGAGAGGAUGGCUCCAAUUCCGAUCCCACUUGCAUCACACUCGAUCACAAAGCGUUGGGAAAAAUCCGGUAGACGCAAAACAGGUGGAGAAGUCAAUGCUGUUUUUAAUUGAUCAAAAGCCGCGACUGCAUCCUUAUUCCAAUGGAAGCCAUCUUUAGUUAAGAGCCUGGUCAAAGGAGCUGCUAUACACCCAAAAUUGCGAAUAAACUUCCGGUAAUAUCCAGCCAAACUAAGAAAUCCACGAACCCCCUUCGUCGUCGUUGGCGUAGGCCAAUCAAUGACUAUUUGUAUUUUAACAGGAUCAACAGCCACACCUUUUUCGGAGAUGAUAUGACCCAAAUACUCAACCUGUAAAACUCCAAAUUGACACUUUGACUCUUUGGCAAACAAGCUGUUAGUUGAUAAAAUAUCUAAAACUUGACGAAGAUGCGAGAGGUGAUCUUCCCAAGUUCGAGAAUACACCAAUAUGUCGUAAAAAAAAACAAGUAUGAACCUCCGAAGAUAUGGACGAAAAAGAUCAUUCAUGAGACUCUGAAAGGUUGCAGGAGCAUUGGUAAGUCCAAAUGGCAUCACAAGAAACUCGUAAUGUCCCUCGUGUGUACGAAAGGCUGUCUUUGAAACAUCCUCCCCCUUCACACGGAUUUGGUGGUAACCUGCUCGUAAAUCCAACUUUGAGAAGAAUUUGGCGCCGUGGAGUUCAUCUAAGAGUUCAUCUAUGACUGGGAUUGGAUAUUUAUCUUUGACUGUGAUAGUGUUAAGUGCUCUGUAAUCCACGCAAAAUCGCCAAGACCCAUCUGCCUUCUUAACUAAUAGAACUGGAGAUGAAAAAGGACUGCUGCUAGGUCGAACCAAUCCUGCUUGUAGGAGCUCUUUAACCAUUUUUUCGAUUUCAUUUUUUUGGUAGUAAGGAUACCGGUAUGGCCUUACACUCACUGGUUUUGUAUUUGGCUCUAAGGGAAUUUGAUGAUCAUGUGUCCGUUUUGGUGGUAAGCCAGAAGGUGGUUGAAAUACAUGACAAAAUUCAUUUAGGAGGCAUAUGAGGUCAGGUGGAUAUUCAUUCAAUUUAUUGGUAUUAGCAGGAAUAAUUUGAAAGAAAAAACCAGUGCCUUGUAAAUUGAGAAAUUCUUUACCAGUGAGAGCCUCCAUGCCCGCUCGUUCCAUUCCUCGGAAGGUAUGGAUGCCUUCUCCCUUUCUAAAGGUCAUUGUCAAUUUCUUAUAGUCCGUCUCGAUAGGCCCAAGAGUUUCAAGCCAUUGAACACCCAAUACUAAUUGACAUGCUGCAACUGGUAGGAUGUAAUAAUCUGCGGUGAUAAGAUGACCUUGAACUGUGAGAGUGAGUCUCUGGCACUGUCCUGCACACUCUAUCUGUUCUCGGUUUGCAACCAUGACCUGAAGCUUCUUGUCACAAACCACUGGUAACCUAAACUUGGAGACAAUAGCUUGAUCAAUGAAAUUAUGAGUACUUCCCCCAUCUAUUAAAACCGUAACAUCCUUAUUCUUCAGUUUGCCUUGGACACGAAUGGUUUGAGGAUGUGUUGUACCUGCAAUAGCAUGAAAAGAGACUUCUGGUAUUACGUCAUAAUGCUCUGGUACAUGUUGAGCUUCUUCAUCAUUAGUGCAGUUAAAUUGGGGAGAGUCUUCUAUCAUAAAUAGUUGUGGCCGCUCACAACGAUGUCCUGGCACGAAUUUCUCAUCACAGUAGUAGCAUAAUCCCUUCUCUCUGCGUUCGCGUGCCUCUUGGUUGGUGAUUCGUCGAAAGGAAAUUGGUGUAUUAUUAGAGUUCUGAUUUUUUUUUUGGGCGGGCGGAGGUCCUAGCACGCUAGCUGUUGUAUUUGGCAUCGUCCUAGGCAUCACUGAGGUUGUUUGGAAAGGAUAGGACGUGCGAGCCUUUCUUUGCAAUAAGUUCCGUUCUUCAACGAGCCGAGCGACUCCUAUGGCGUCUGCCAAGGUUCGAGGUUGUUUGAUCUUAACGUCUAAGCGAACGUCAUCUCGAAGUCCUGCAACAAAACAGCCAACGAGAAAAUGUUGAGGUAAGCCAUCGAUCUGAUGGGAGAGCUUUUUGAAGGCUUCUUGGUAGGUUGCUACUGUUGUAGUCUGUUUGAGGCGAGACAAAGCUUCAGACGGGUCCUCGUAGUCGGUCGGGCCGAAACGGAGCAGGACUGCCUUGGUGAACUCCUCCCAACUUAAAGGUCCACGAAACUUCAUCAACCAUCUCUGCCAUUGUAAGGCAAUUCCCUCUAAAUGGAAAGAGGCCAGUUGAACUUGUUGAUCAGGGGCAAUAUCUUUGAAGUCAAAGUAUUGUUCUGCUCUGUAGAUCCAGCCACUUGGGUCUUCACCGUUAAACUUUGGAAACGACAAAUUUAUAUGGUGAUGGGUCCUGUCAGUAGUUGGACCAUGGAGAGAAGGGCUUGGUUGGUUUCGGUUUUGUGAGGAUUCUGCAGGGGCAAGGGAAUUGGUUUCAGUAUUGACAGUGUUUGAGCUACGUGAUACUCGAAGGGCUUGAAGCUCUGUCAAGACCGUUUGCAAGGUGGCAUUAACUUGAUCAAAGCUUGACUCAUGGCGGGCUAUAAUUUCACUAACUUCGUUGCGGAAUUCAGCAUUAGUUUUGCCGCGAGUAUCCGUGAUCUAACCUGCUCUGAUACCACUGAUAUGUUAAUUUGUAGUUAACAAGUGAGCUAGAGUUGAGAAAGAAAGACGAGAGGAAGUGUUGUCAAAAGCUUAAACUUAUAUUCAUUUAUUCCAUGAGCUACACAUAUAUAUAGUCUUUGAACUAAACACUUAAGCUAGAAAAUAGAAUAACAGUAGCAGAUAAUCUGGAAAAUAACUAACUGGUGCCGAAAAAUCAGCACUCGAGAUUAUUCAACGGAACCACUAAGGUCUAACAAACUUGACCAAGUCUUGAUGAUGACCAAAUCUUCCACUCACUCUCCUCCCGUUUUAAAGUUGAAGACGUGCAUGCAAUCCCAAGCAUUUUCAUACGUCCCAUGCAUUUCCAUACAUGGUCUGAAGGCAUGCAUGCAAUCCCCAUGCACACGAGCACAUAUCACCCCCUAAAAUACAAAAAAAAAAAAUUAAUGAUAAUAAACGUGACACACGAGUCAGUGAGCCAGCCCCUACAACAGAAAAAAAUAAUAAUAAUAACAACGAACAUGACACACGAAUCAUUAAGCCAGCCCCACGUACAAAAAAAUAUCAAAAGUGUUGGGGGGGGGGGGGGGGGGGGGCGGGAAUGAUGGGUUUCUUUAGUAAUUUUGUCCUCAAAAUCAAGGUGGUACAACUAACAGUAAUUUCUGAUGGAAAUAAUUAUCUCGCACAUCUUAUAUCAGCAAUAUCUAUCAUUUUAUUAAUGUGCACAUAUGAAGAGAAGGGUUGAUUUAAAUUUCAAAUAUAAUUAUAUAUGGAAGAAGAAAGCAUCAAAAUCAUUGCUUUGGAUCAUCGAGUCUUCAAAUACAUUAAUUUAUUGCUUGGUUGGGUCCUUACGUGGAGUUUCAGUUUGCGUUAUUAGAUUGGAAGAUUGCGACAGUGUGGCUUUAAGCCACUUCACUUAUACGUUGGCCACACUCGCGGUUAAUUCAAGAAGGAAAAAUAAAUUUAUCUGUCUGCUUCACUUUCAAACAUCAAAUCUUCAAAGUCAUUGAUUAACUGCUUGGGGUUGGUCCCCCAGGGAGAUUGAAAGAUUGUGCCACAUUUAACAUAAGCCCCGCGGACUCCUGGAAAAUUUUCAAGGAAAAUCAAUUUAGCUGUCUACGUCGUGCAGAUUGAUAACCUGUUUGCAUGUUGACUGAUAAUCAUACCCGGUAAAUAAAUUAGAGGAUAAUAGAUUUAUAAAUUUUGAGAAUGAUUCACCAUUUUUUAAAAAACACUCUACUCUUUUAUAGUGAUAAACGAGUGAGAACUAUUGACACCCUUUAAAAUUAUUCUAAAACUCUUAUUUUAUUAUAAUUACAUUGAGUAAAAAGGCACCUAUACGUUUAAGAUUUUAAGAAAUGGUCAUAUUAAUCUUCAUAUUUUCAAUAAGGAUACCAAAACUUCAUUUUGACUAAGGUGCUCUAUUAACUCAAAAAAAUUAACUCCAAUAUUUUAUUAUAAAUUGAAGAAAAUAUUAAAGUAAAUGUAUAAUAUAUACAUUUAAAAUAAUUUCAAUAUUUAAAAAAUAUUUGAAUACUUUACAAUCUUAUAAUAUAUUAAACCAAAUAAAUAGAAGCACAAUAUUAAAAUAAAUAUAUCAAAAUUUAAGUUAUUUUCAAUAUUUUAUAAAAUAAUUUUAAUAUUGUUAAUAAAUUAGAUACAUUUUGUUAAUUGUAAAUUUUAUUGAACCCAAAGACUUAUUUAUAAUUUCUAUAAUAAAUACAAAUUAUUAUUAAAAUAUAUAUAAUAAUUUAUAUUUUGAAAAUUAUUUUGUAUAUUAAAAGAUUUUAAUAUUAUUUGACUAAUAGACAAAUUAAACUAUUUAAAUUAUAUUUAUAUUUAUUAAAAAAUUAAAGCAAAUUUUUUUAGUUACUAUUUACUAAUGGUAUUAUAGUCAAAAGAAAGAUUUGCCAAGGUUGAAUCAUUUGCUGCAACUCAAGAAUGAAAUACAAGUGUGCAACCCAAGAGGGGGGGUGAAUUGGUAUUUUAAAAAUUAUCAUAACAAAGCCACACAACAAUCCAAUCUAAUGCCUUAAUAAAUUCGAAAGCAAUAAGUUCAAUAAAAGCACAAUAACAAAUGAAUAAAGAGAAGAGAAACAAACACACGAAUUUUUACGUGGUUCGGCAAUCCCCACCCACGUCCACGCCUCCAAGCGAUCUAAGCUUGAAGAUUUCACUAUCCAAGCUUUCCAAGGCUUUAAAUGUUUACAAUUGACUUCAAGGUGUCAAUGAACCUUUACAACAAAGAGAUUAUCUCUCAAUCUCUUCACUCAAGUGUCUCACACACUUAAACACUUACAAUUAAGAUGAGGAAUUGAAAAUUACAAUGAAAUCUCUCUUAAAGAGUAGAUAUACAAAUUAAAGAACAAAAGAUGAUUCAAGGUUUUAUGAUUUGCGAAAUGAGAGAUCAAUGAACGUUGUGUGCUUUUUUAUUUUUGCUUGCAUGAGAGCUUGAAAAUGAAUUGGAUUUGAGUUUAUAUAGUUUGAGCUCAAAAACUAGCCGUUAUGCACAUUUUGGUGAUAAUCAGCUUACCGUUUAUGAAAUCCGGUUAGCCGCUUUUAUGUUACCGUUACAGCAAAAAUUUGAAUUUAAGAAAAUCUGGCAUGCCGCUUUUCAUAUCCGGUUAGCCGCUUUUGAAAUCCGGAUAGCCGCUUGCGAAAUCUAGAUAGUCACUUAUGUUCCAGAAGCUUACUGCCCAACAUUCGGCUAGCCGUUUGUCACAUCCGGUUAGCCGCUUGCUACAGUAACCAGUACAGUGCAUUAUUUUCUAAAAUUAUAUUUUGACCCCAAAACGUUAUAAAAUUUUAUUAUAGCCUAAAAUGUUAUGAAAGUUUUCAAAUAGAUCCAAUUUCAUAAUUUCUAAAUAAUGCUUUGUCAAUCCCAAAACUUUUUGAAAUUAUAAUAGCACCCAAACUAUGUGAAAUUAUAGAAUGACCCAAAAUAUUUAAAUAUUUUCAAAUAAGUCCAAAUCUGAAAUUUUAAAACAAUAUCAAAGAUUAUAAAAUACUUUCAUUUUAGUCCAAAACACUUAAAUUCAUAAAAUCAUUUGCUUACUAUAAAAACACAAUUCACAAAUCUUUGUUUAACUAACACAUGUGAUUUGUUAUCAUCAAAAUCAAUAUUUAUAGCCAUAUAGGCUAAUAAAGAAAAGCCAAUAAAAUUCAGUUUUAGUUCCCUUGUCGGCACAAAACCAAUUGAAUCAAAUUUGUUUCUCUCUCUCUUUCUCUCUCUCUCUUUUGUAGUCUCAUCUAUACAGUUAAUUUGCUCAAACUUGUUUUCUUUUUUUAAUUUGAUUAUUUUUAUUUUUGGAAGCUAGUGUUUUUGAGUUUUGUCGAGAGAGAAUAUUUGAAAAAGGAGAUUAUUUUUUUUAAAAAGGUAUUUUUGGCAUUAAAGACAAUAUAAUUGGAAAAAAAUUUAAGAUGAUUUUGGAGGGGUCAUAUAUUAUAUACAAUAUACUACAUGGGUGGGAUAUUUCCACCCCAUUAUUUGUAUAAACCCAUCCCAUUUCUAAAAAAUAUUUACAAUAAAUACAUAUUUUUCUAAUAAAUACAAAUCAACAAAAAAAAUUAUGUAAUUAAUCAAUUAAAUCGUUCUUAUAUUUUUUUCUUACUUUUUUUUAACCAUUAAAGUAGCUUUAAUAUAAGUUCUAUUUAAUUAUUUUGCUUUAUGACAUAAAAUGACCCAUUGACCCAAAAAAAAUGUGUUCUUGUAUCUAAUACUUUAGAUACUUAAUUUUGUGACUUAAUCUAGGUUCUUAAAUGAAGUCUAAUAGUUUUCAAUGUUUUAUAUGUAAAUGACAUAAAUUUGACAGCCUAAUAAUUUAAUGAGUAUUUUUUUCAUAAAGACAUUAUGCUAGUUUAAUUAAAAAUAGUCAAUUUAAAUUUAGGUUUAAGUAAUCUUAUUAGUCACAUAUAAUAAAAAAAUAAGUCACAAUAAAAUAAAUUAAGAUAGAUUUAAUUGAUUAAUUCUUUUGAAUUCUUCUUUAUUUGAAAUUUUUAAAAAUAAUGAAAAUUUUUUGUAAUUAUUUUCUAAAAGUGGGGUGGAUUUGUUGAAUUUGUAGGGUGAAAAUAUCAUCACCCACAAUACACAUGUCCAUAUAAAGAGAGUUAACACAUAAAAGUCGUAUAAAUACGUUCAAAUAGCGCCCAACACAGAAAAUUAAACUAAUCCAAACUUUUUUUUUUUGAAUUAAGGUAAUCAGGGGGUUGAAAAAAGAAACUUUGCAUAAAUAUGCACAAACGAUAUAAAGUGAUGUGGUAUGAAAAUUGUGAUUGAAUAAAGCAAAUGGGCAAUGUUAUAACUAUUAAUUCUUUUGUACCAAUUGAUGUGAUAUUAUAUGAGUGGUUAAACGAAUACAUCACCAAGCUUAUUUUUAUUAUUUUAUAUUUUUAUUCAACUAAUUCUUAUAUCAUAUUAGUUUGUAUAAAAAUAAUUUUUAUAAAAUUUUGUAGUUAUAACAUCACUCAAAAAGUUAUAUGGCCUACAAUUUUUUUUUUAAUUAAGGUUGUGGCUAUUUGAACCUCAAAAUUCCUCUGCAUACCCAUACUUUUAUUGAAAGUUUUAUUACUAAAUUAUCUGUAAACAAAAUUAUUAAUAAAGACAUAAUAGUGAGAUGAUUUUUUUUUUUAUCAUAUUUAAGAUCUUACUUUAAUUGGUCUAAACAAGAGAAAUUGAAGUGAACAAUUGAUUCUGAUAUUAGAAAUAUGCCAACCAAUUAUGAGAAAUUGGAUACAGAUUUACAAAUGGGUAAUUUCUUGAUUUUGGCAUGAUAAGGCAAAGCAGCAAACAUGCAUAAGAAAAUGAAAUGUGCAUAAGAGAAUGAUAUCAUGUUGGUUGUUAUAAGGUCCGCUGUUUAUUCAUACGAUAUUUCCAAUCUAAUUAAUUUAGAAUGUAAAAUUGAAAUAGCAAACACAUCGAUUGUCCUUAUUCCAAAGAAACAGUGGUCUGAGGUGUUGUCAGAUAUGAGGAUGAUUACACUUUGUAAUGUGCUUUAUAAAAUAGUCUCCAAGAUGCUAGCUAAUCGCAUGAAAUCUGUUCUUGACUCGGUUGUUUCAAAAUCUCAGAGUGCCUUUGUUCCCGGUCGUGCAAUUACCGAUAAUAUAAUUGUCUCGACAAAAAUUAUGCACUUUUUGAAGAGGAAGAGGCAAGGAAAACAUGAUGUCACUGCUCUAAAGAUCGAUAUGUCCAAAGCAUACAAUAGGAUCAAGUGGGGUUUCUUUAGGAUAUGAUGCUUAAACUGGGUUUUGACACUAAAUGCGUGAACUUUAUCAUGCUUUGUGUGACAACAGUUCGUUACAAUGUGCAUCGUGAGGGUUGGGAGGUGGGUCCAAUUAUGCCAAGUAAGGGUCUACAUCAAGGUGAUCCAUUGUCUCCGUAUCUUUUCAUUUUAUGCGCAGAGGGUCUUAGUUCUUUGAUCAAGAGACAUGAGAGGCUUGGUUUGCUUCAUGGGGUGAGAGUUGAUCAAAAUGCUCUAGUGGUGUCUCAUAUUUUUUUCGCCGAUGAUAGCUUUCUAUUUUUUAGAGCAAAUCAGGUUGAAGCUUUUAUCAUUAAGCAGAUUUUGGCUAUUUAUGGAUGUGCUUCUGGUCAGAUGGUAAAUUUCACUAAAUCAACCGUUUCAUUUAGUGCUAAUGUGAAUGCUAGUAUUUUUAGUCAGAUUUAUGGAACCCCGGAUGUUAAUGCUACAGAAGAUCAUGGAGCUUAUCUCAGAUUUCCAUCUCAUAUUGGUCAAAAGAAAAAAGUUGUCUUUAAUUAUAUUCGGGACAAAGUUCGACAGAGGCUGUAAGGUUGGUCUCGAGCUGGAAAGGAAAUCUUGCUGAAAACGGUGGCUCAAGCAAUGCCUAAUUACGCCAUGAAUGUCAAUCUCCUACCCCUUGACUUAUGUAAGGAGCUGGAAGUUGUGAUGAAUUCCUUUUGGUAGGGCAGCAAAAGCGGUGGUGGUAGGGGAAUUCGUUAGAUGAAGUGGGAGCACUUAUGUAAACCGAAGGAUUUUGAGGGAAUUGGCUUCAAGCAACUGCAUACUUUCAAUGUCACUUUGCUUGGAAAAUAGGUCUGGAAACUUCUUACAAAACCAGAAUCUUUUGUUGCUAAAGUUUUAAAGGCUCGCUAUUAUUCGAGAUCUACUAUUAAUGAAGCCAAAUUGGGGCACAAUCCGAGUUUUGUGUGGCGCUCUAUUUUAUCUGCAAAGGAUGUUGUUGUCUAUGGGAGCCGAAUUCAAAUUGGAAGUGGGCAGAAUGUUUUAAUAGGCCAAGAUCCUUGGCUGCCAGAUAUCAAUAAUAGCUUUAUCUCAUCUAAUCUAAAUGAGGAGCUAGCUGUUGCGAAAGUGAAUAGCUUGAUGGUGCCAAACCAAAGACAAUGGGAUUUAUAUAUUGUUUCUAAUCUUUUUAAUUCAAGAGAUAAAGAACUGAUCUUGCAAAUUCCUCUUAGCUACCAUAGAGUGUCUGAUAUGUGGUAUUGGUUGCAUGAUCCUUGUGGAGUUUAUUCAGUACGUAGCUGCUAUAAACUGUUAACUCAUAGUGCUAGUGAUUUUCUACUAGUAUUUGGAGAGCAUUGUGGAAUUUGGAGGUGCUGAAUAAGGUUAGGAAUUUUCUUUGGCGGGCUGCGACAAAUGUAUUACCUACUGCAGAUAAUCUUAUUCGUCGUAGAAUGGCUAUUAUGCCUACUUGCUCUUUGUACAAUGCCUAUGAUGAGAUUGUUACACAUGCUCUACUGGAAUGUGGCUUUGCUAAGUCUUGUUGGAUUUCCUUUACUGUUGGUUAUUUGUUAUGAAACACAACCCCUUCUUCAAUCUUGAUCAAUCAGCAAUCUAAGUAACCUUGACCAAUUGCUCAAGUAACUAAUGGUUCUAACCAGGAAAUUGAGAAUCAAGAACGUAAAACUAAAUGAAAGAGAGAAAAAGAUAAAGAAAACAGAGAAAAGAAACACAGCAAGAUAACGUGGUUCGGUACCAAGGUACCUACAUCCACGACUGAAAACACCCUUAGGGCUUGAAACGUUUAUUAAAAAGAUUGAUUACAACAGAUCUUGAGAAUACAUAGAACAAAUCUCUUUUUUACAGAAUUCUCUAAAUCUCACUUAAUCCCAAUCGAAAUCUCUUCUUAAGGUGUUGAACUGACCAACUCUGCUUCUUAAAUACUAAAUCCAUAAGCAUGUAGAACUUGUUGUAACAGAAUUAACCGUCAAAGGGUCCCAUUUGCCAGCUCACCAAGCCACCUCAGUAUUACUAUUUUUAACAGAAUAUAACUAACAUGUUUCAAAAUUCCAGGCCAUUGUCUGUCCUUAAGCCUCUUCACUUUUCUCCCAACUUGAUUUUCCAUCAGGGCUGUCCACUCCUUGAACUUCUUUAAGGCUUCACUUUUCUGCUUCAACACAUAAACCCAAAGUUUCCAAGAGAAGUCAUUUAUGAAGGUAAUAAAGUAUCUUGCUCCACCAUGAGAUGGAACUUGUGAUGGCCCUCAGAUGUCUGAAUGAACAUAAUCCAGUGUUUGUUUGGUUUCAUGCUUCCCUGGAUUAAACUUUUGCCUAGUGGUUUUCCUAAAUACACACCUUUCACAGAACUCAAGGUGAGAAAUGUGAUCAUGAACAAAUAAUCCUUGUUUUUCCAGUUCUUUCAAACCUCUUUCACUCAUAUACCCUAGCCUCAUAUGCCAAAGUUUGGUCUUAUCACUGCUAACACUAGCAUUCACCUCUAACUUUAACAAAGGCGCCAUUAAGACAUGAUCUAUAUUUGACCAUUUUCAGCUUUAAUGCUACAACCCAACUGAUAUAAUAUCCCCAAAGAUAUUAGGUUUCUUUUAAGGUCAAGAACAUACUUAACUUGUUCAAGGUCUCUGGUUACUCCAUCAAACAUCUUGAUACUGACUAUUUCUAUUCCAGCAACCUUACGAGCAAGAUUAUUUCCUAACAAGACUUUGCCCCUAUCUAUAUUAUCAAAGAUUUUAAAGAGGUCUUUACAAGAACACAUAUGAAAUUGAUUCUAAAAAUCAAAUUUUAAAAAACUAAUCCUUUCCUAAUUUUCAAAGUUUCCUACAGGAUGGGGUGAUUUUGUCGUAAGUGAUUUUUUUUAAAAAAAUUUACUAAAUACGAAAAUUAGUUUUUAAUUUUUAAUAUCACUUUUGAAUCUCUCAAAAACAAUAACGAGCCAUUCAUUAAACAUUUAUAUUAUUGUUAAUAAUAUUACAUACUCAUUUCUUGAUCAAUGCUAAUAAUGUGUGACAAUUGUAUGUUACCAUAAAUUCUAUGGCACGAGACUUUUACAAUAUAAGUUUUAUUUGAUUAAUGCUAGACUACGAAAUGGUUGAAACAUAAUUAUAUACAUUUUAAAUUACAGUUGUCCAACCUCAAUUCCAAACGCACCCUAAAUUAAUUAGAUAAAAACACCACAUGACCGAGACUUGAAAUAUACACUAGUAGAUAAAGAAUGAAUACACGCGUAAGAGUUUGAUUGGUGUGCACGUGGAGUUUGAACAUGAGACUUUUAGCUCCGUUAUCACGUUCGAGAAACUUCUCUCAAGUAUUGUUUCUCAAUUAUAUUUCUUCUUGUUUAGCUCUCAUGGAAUAAGAGGAACAGUUUGAUUCCAAAAAUGGAGCAUCCCAAAGUAAAGAGAAAAAAAGGAACUGAGCCUGUUUUCUCUCGGGAAAAAUGUUUUGUACAGUCAUCACAUUCACACAGCUUUUAUGACUAAAACUUUUGAAACAAAAAUUUUCACUGAAAGAUAAUUAAAACUCGCUUUCCCUCAUUGAAAAUUUUAUGCCUCAGACGAUUCAGCAAGAGUCUAGGAAGUUGAAUCUGAUCUUUGAUUUCAUAUUCAGUUUCCAUUAUUGGACCACGUUUAUCAUCAAAUGGCAUCCAUGUGUGAGGAAAACGACAACAUUUUUGGAACCAGAUUUUAGUUAUUGACAGCUUGAAUUGAUAGUAACAUAACAUUGAACUUCAAUUCGAUCUCAAGUCUCAGUUAUUUAAUGGAAGAAUUUGGGUUCUGGCCUAUGGGGAUAGCUAGCCAAAGCUAUCAAUGCAGGAUGAGGGCCAAAGCUGUCAAAGCUAUCUCUGACUUUGUAGCUCAAAUUCUUGAAAUUUAACUUCUAACCAUUAUGAUUGAUUUCAAAAGAAAGUAGCUAGUACAUUACUUGAUGGGAAACCUCAUUAAUUUUAAAGUGAUGAUACUCCAUCCCACAUUUUUUAUAAAUCCAACCAAUUUUUAAAAAAUAAUUAUAAAAAUUGCACAUUAUUUUUAAAAGUUGUACAUUGAUUCACUUUUUUAACAUAUUUGAUUAUAAAGAUUGGUUUGACAUAAGUUUAAAUUGAAGUAAAAUUAUCAAGAAUUUACUUUAACUUUAAUUUUUUUCUAAUUUGUACCAAACUAGUUGUUUAUAAUACUAUUUUAUUAGUAUGAUUAUUACUUUUUAAUUAAAUUAACAUAACGUCUUUAUGGUACAAUUCUCAUAUAAAUUAUUAGACUGUCAAAUUUAUGUCAUUUACACAUAAGAGUAGUGAAAUAAUAAUUAAGUUUCAUUUUAAAAUAUUAAAUUAUAAGUUGCAAAAUUAAAUACCUAAAUUAUUAGAUAUAAUAACUCAUGUUUUAUGAGGAUAAUUUUGUCUUUUUAUAUCAUAAAAAUAAAAUAGUGAAAUAAAAUUUAUAUUAAAACUUAGGGAGAUUGCCAAUUUCCCCCUUAUUAAAAUCAUUAUAUACCAAUUCCCCCCUUAUUAUUUUCAUAAUGACCAAUUUCCUCCCUGCCGUUAUAACAGUAACAGAAGUUGCUCAAUUACAAGAAUUAUGUGUGUAGAAGAAUUAUUCUAAUUGGGGAAGAAAUGAGUGAAAAAGAGCUUAUAUAUCAGAUGCUACAAGCUAGCUUCACGUUUUUGGAAAAUUUCCAAAAACCAUAUAACGAACUUUAACAACUCAGGCCACGUCAGCAGAAAUUUACAAACACAUCCUUCAACUGAAUGCAAUCUGCACAAUGACCCAUGCAACUCUCACGUGAUUUCACUUUAGUCCCAAAAAUCAGUUAAUCACUUAUCCAGAUUUUUUUAAAGUUAUGGUGAAAUGAUGCCAUUUCAUAUGGUGAAACAAUGUCGUUUCACUUAUCUAGAAACGACAUGUCCUUUUUAUCAUUCUACAGAGGAUGACAUAUUGUUUUAUAUGGAAUGACAUGCAGUUUUAUAUAGGAUAACCUGUCAUUCUUUAUAGGAGCUUCUUUUAUUUUAAAAAAUCAUAUUACUCUUUUGAUGUCAUCACUUACAAACGGCAACUAACGGAUUAAUGGUUGACAUAUAAUUUUUGUUAACUUAAAGUGAAUGAUUGAUACACUCUUAAAAUGUUAUAAUAUUUUAAUAAUAUUAUAAAUUUAAGACAUAUGAAUGAUAAUUUUCAAAAAAAGAAAAAAGACACUUCAUUGAUCUACAGUGAUCCUACUGAACUCUAAAGAGAAGAAAGUACAGUAGAGAUGCCUGGGCUUAACUUCAUCAAAUGCUGAUGUGCAAUUAACCCGUGCGAGCUAUAAUAAAUAACACUUUUAGAAUUAUCUCCCGCGGUUAGAUUUGGUACUUCCAACUAAUACAAUAACAGAUAACUUGUAAAAUCGGGCGGUAUGAAAGCCCUCUAGAGCCCAAAUCUUUAGUUCCCCUUGUUUGGACUUUGGACCUUCUUCACUUUGAGGGGUUUUUGGCAACAAGUCCACAACGUAACGCCCACUAGAUCAACCGUAUACUGUAAAAUUUAAAAAAUAAAAAAUAAAAUGAAGUGUGAAUCCAACAAUCAAGUGACGUCUCCAAAUUAACGUGAGAAAAUUGUAGAGCAACAAGCAUCGAACUCUCAGUAAGAGUGAGUCGCACUGUUAUUAACAAAACAAAACAAAAACGAAACAAAACACGCUCUCUGUCAAGUGUCUCUCUGAUCAAAAUUAAUUUUCUAUUUUAAUUAUUAUAAUCACCAGAUCAAAUCGAAAGGAACCAUAAUAUUUAUUCACCAAUUUAAUGUUAGGAAAUUGAGCUUCCUCCCAAGAUCACUCCAAGUAAUUUGUCAAGCAAUAAACUAACAAGAAAAAUAUUAAAUAGAGAAUACAUCAAUCACACAGCACAAGAUUUACGUGAAAAACUCUAAAUUCGGAGAAAAACUACGGCCGUUGUCACAAGACAACCAGAGAAAAAUAUUCACUAUAUGAAAAAUUAUUACAACCACAUUUUCAGAAAUAAUUUUCUCUCACCCAAGCCCCAAAUACAUGAUCCCGAGAAAUAUUCUUUAACAAAGCAAACUCGUAAUACCCAUAUUGAGGAGACAAAUGCUCCUUCAAUAUAACUACAUGCUUAAGAACAUUUCUCUCUCUCAAUUUCUCAUCAAAACUUGGAGAUAAAAGUGAGGAGGAGCACCCUCUUAUUUAUAACCAAACGGAAGCACUAUUCAAACCGCGUUAUUGUUCAUGCCGCGUGGUCAAACCGCAUUACUGUUCACCACGUGGUCAAACCUUUUUUUUUAUAAUCAAUUUUCAACAAUCUCCACCUUGAUUAAAAAAAAAAUUUCAUAGCUACUGUUACAAUACAUUGUCUUCAUCAACAAUCAUAAUUCUCAACAUAGAGAAUUAUCAUACUCCACCAUAAAAAAAAUACCACUUAGAAUCAACCAUUUUAAGAUUUUUCUCUGCACAUGUCAAACAUAUCCGCUGAACAUUAUGGUGCAAUUCUCAAUGCUUGGUUCCCUGAGAAUUCUUCAGCCAUGACAUAACUUUUCCACCACACACCUUGCAUUUAUACCAAGCCAAUGCCUGCGUGCAAACUUGUAGACCUCGCUAAUAAUAACAUGUUCUCUUUCAUGGCAACUUGGAGAUCUACAUGCUAAAAGAACUAACUCAGUCUCUUAUCAAAAGGAAACUCACUAUCUGCGAGAAUAUCAGUAUCUCUUUUUACUGAUUCUGGAGCAAUUUGCCGAUCCCGCUCCACCUUCUUGACAAUUUCCUUAAGGUGCCAAAUUGCCACACCUUCAAAUCUUUUUGCAUACUAGAUUGGACACAACUUUGACUUGAUUUCUCCACAAGCCAAAAAAUCAUUCUCCCAUUAAUUUUUAUAUUUCAAAUUUCACCGGACUUGAAAAUUUCAAUCCUGACAUAUUUACUUUGCAGAUAAGCUUUUACUCUUCACCGCUGACUAUUUGGAUUGGCUCCCACUGCUUCAUGUGAAUGGUAUUGUAUACAUGAAUAAUAUCGUAUACGUGAAUAGUACCGUAUACGUGAACAGUGCCCCGAGACCAGAAUUUCAACUAAUGGCUAUAAUACCACUGUUAGGAAAUUAAGCUUCCUCCCGAGAUCACUCCAAGCAAUUUGUCAAGAAACAAACUAACAAGAAAAAUAUUAAAUAGAGAAUAUAUUAAUCACACAACACAAGAUUUACAUGGAAAACUCUAAAUCCAGAGAAAAACUACGGCCAUUGUCACAAGACAACUAGAGAAAAAUAUUCACUAUAUGGAAAAUUAUUACAACCACAUUUUCAGAAAUAAUUUUCUCUCACCGAAGCCCUAAAUACAUGAUCUCGAGAAAUAUUCUUUAACAAAUCAAACUCGUAAUACCCAUAUUGAGGAGACAAAUGCUCCUUCAAUAUAACUACAUGCUUAAGAACAUUUCUUUCUCUCAAUUUCUCGUCAAAACUUGGAUACAAAAGUGAGGAGGAGCACUCUCCUAUUUAUGACCAAACGGAAACACUAUUCAAAAUCGCGUUACUAUUCAUAUCGCGUUGUUGUUCAUGCCGCGUCAUUGUUCAAACUGCGUGGUCAAAUUGCGUUACUGUUCACCACGUGGUCAAACCUUUUUCUUUUUUUAAUCAAUUUUCAACAUUUAAGAAACAAUGUCAUUCCCUUUUUUUAACCCUAGAUCAAAAUUCACAAAUGGCUUAUCAAAAAGCUUGAGAGCGCGACAUGCUGGACUCUAGGGGUGGGCAAAACCGAGUUCGGGUCAGGUUCGGGUCAAUUCAAUCGGAUUUCAGGUUGAUUGGGUUGGUUAAAAAUUAAUCCGAAUAAAACCCGAAUUAUAGACCCGACCUGAUAGUUCGGAUCGAGUCGGGUCGGGUCAACGAUGUGGGUUAAAUUCGGAUAGGAUUGGGUUCGUAUGUAAUCAAUUUUAAAAGCUUCAAAAUCUUGUUCGGGUCACAAAGUCAGAAAGGGCAAACCGGCAAAGCCAAAAACUCAGGUCGGGUUGGAGCUUGAGCCUUGGAGCAGCAGAUCGGUGGCCGCGGCAACAGAUCGCAGACGAGUUUUCAGCAGUAGAUGGGCACACAUGCAGCGGUAGAUCGCGACAGUUGGACGCACAACAGCAGUUCGCGGCGACUGGUCGGAGAGGCAACAACAGAUCCGGGACUGGAGAGGGUUGUGUGUGUGAGUGUUGUGGCUGUGGGUUGUGUGUGUGAGGCCGUGAGGGUUGCAAACUUGCAGAGGGUUUGUUGUGAUUUGUUUGUAAUUUGUAUUUUGCGAUUUGUGAAUCUGUUUGUGUUUGUGAAAUUGUGACUGUGAGUGUGCCCGUGUGGUGUGUGCCUGUGUUUAGGUUAGGUUUAGUUUUUUUUUUUUUUUUUGUAACCCGAUCGGGUUUAUAAAAUUUCAUCCUAUCGGGUUUCAUACAUAACCCGAUCAGAUCCGUUUCUAACCCGAAAAGUUUCGGGUCGGAUCGGGUCGGGUCGGGUAUUUUGCUCACCCCUACUGGACUCCCUCUACUCGAUGCUAGCGCUCGUCUUCAUACUUGCCACUUGCGUCGAGCUCUGUGACGUCGCCACCAUUGUCGACAUCUAUCGUCUCAUUCAAUACGACAUCUCCGGCGUCCCAUUUGGAUCUUGGCUGGCGAGCCUCAAUCACCACACCGGUUCGCUCCAUUUUUCGCCUGGCGCGGACCAGUCACGAACCGUUGUUGUGAUUCCGGUUCGCGAAUUGAACAUUAGCUUGUCAGUGGUAUUUUUAUUUAGUUUUUUAACGAUUGUCGUUGCUAAAUAUAAAGCUUUUGUGAGUUAAGAUUUAUGAGAUUUUCUAUUUUCUAUUCAAUCACAUCCAAAUUGAUUUUUUAUUCUUAUAAGUUCUAAUCACUUACGUGAAACAAAAGUAAUUAAUUAACAAUAAACAACUACGUAUAUAUAUACAUCUUCUUCUACACGGUACUAUAACUCUUAUCUCAUUAACAAUUCCAUUCUUGUUAUCUAAAACACUUUGAACGCCCAAAAAGCUGCAAGCAUGACAAGUCCACUAGCAAGACAAACAUUAUUCAAUACCCUUUCUGCCCUUUCCUUUUUCUCUUUUCUAUCAAUUUUCCUCAUCAAAAGCUCCUCAUAUCUCUCUUUCACUUCCGCUCUCCUCCCAUUCUUUCUCUUCCCACUCUCCAUAACCCCUUGCAAAAUUACCAAACCAUCCUUCCAACUCAAAUUCCCCUCCAUGUCCUUCAUUUGCAUGUUCACUUCUUUCACGCAUAGCAUUUCCUCACCUUUCUUUCCCCUUCCCCCAGGUGUCACCAUCACUUCACACUCCAUGCACUCCCUCGCCGGAAACAAUCCCCACCGUUGAUUACCACCUGCGGCGAUCACCACCGCAUAUUUCACGUGCAAGUCACUUGUCAACCAGUCUUGUCGCACGGAAACCGGCCACCAGCUGGAUAAGUUCACCGCCCGGUUUCUGCUAGAGUCGAUUAUUAUCCAACUCAAUGUCAAGUUCUUUUCAAGCUCUUCAAACAGAAUAUUUGCUUCACUCACAAAGGGUAUCUUCGUCGGAACGGAAUAUUUCGCGUCGACCAGGUCAAUCCUUAAAGGUGGGAACUGAAACCAGCCGGUUACUGUCUCAUUCUCUGUAACCCUAGAGAAGACGGGAUCGUUUCUGUAGUAAAGAUCAACGGCCGAGAUUAUCUGUUCAGUGACAAGUAAAGAAUCAUCAUCAUGAAUGUGUUUUGAGGGUUGUUUUUGGCAAUCAAGAACCGGGAAUGAGUGAGAGAAAAAAGACCGGUGACCACCUCCGGGGUAGGAGGAGACGAGGGUUCGCACACGUGGGUCGUUAGAGGAAGGCCACGUGGAGGAGCAGAUAUGUUGCCAGAGUUUUUCUUGUGCACAUAGAGAGUGUAGACGAGAUGAAGUGCAAGCUGCGGCAGCAAGAGUUUGGCCGUCGAGUCGGGUUAAGAUAUGAGUCUCAAUGAUGUCGGGAAGCAACGUUGUGAUGCCUUGAUGGCUUGUAAAUUUUGUGGGACAAGGAGAAGAAGCCAUUGCUUCUUAAUUUUUUACCUCAAAAUGGAGUUUGAAUGUUGGGUUCAUUUAUAAGCAAAAGAGUCAGGCCUAAUUGGUCUAAUAAAAAUGUUGAAACAAAUAUGUGUAUAUGACAAAAGAUGGAUUAGUUUUAGAAUAUAUUAUUCUUUGGUUAAUCCAAUCAUAGGAUAAGUUGAUUCGCUUUAAUGUAAUGAGCAAGAUUUAUGAAUUAAAUUCUAAAAGUCAAGGUUGGUAGGCUAUAGACAAAUGCAUAAAAGAUAGAAAAAUGGAAUUUCCAGGCAGUGGAUGAAAAAGAACAAGGACCUACAUUCAUAAACAUUUCAUUAAGAAAGGAAUAACAGUCGACGUUUUAUUUUUCUUUUCCCUCUCAAUCUUUUAGAUUUAAAAAAAAAAAAUAAAUUUAUGGGCCUUAAGGCGUGUGGUGGAGUGUUUUUUAAGUAAUUUAAUUUAAUUUAUCACUUGAGUUCAAAUGCAGAGGAAAGUAGAGGAUUGAAAAUUGAUUUAAAUUGUGUCUCAUUCUCUACCUUUUAAAAGAUAAAAGAAAUAUAUAUACGGUAGUUUAUAAAAAUUUGUGUUAUUUUUUUAAUAUUUUUUUCCUAUAAAUACAAAAUACAAUCGUAAGAUAAGAGGAUUCUUAAAAUGAUUUUCAAGUAGUUUUUCUUUGAUUAAACCUAUGUUUUGAGGGGGAUAAAAGCCUAAAAAGUCAUGAAUCUAUAGACUUCGUCAACUUCCCCAAUCUUUUUUUCUUUUUCUUUUAAAAAUAUCUGUUAGCGAUCUACUUGUUUUGUCAAUAAAUAAUAAAAUGAAAGCUUAUAAGAAAAAAAAUUCAUUUGUAUAAAACCUUUUUUUAAAUUAAAGAAAAGUACUUUCAAUUUUUUUUUUUUUGGAAGUCUAAUGAAGCCAUCGCGAUUGAUUGUCACUACCUGCAACACAUCAUGACGUGUGAGUUGUGACCAAGACCUUAUCUUCUCAGGAAAAGUGGAUGAAAAUGUUUGCUCCAUGAAGCAGAUCAACGUCACAACACAAGUUGGGAUAUUCUUUUUUAAUUCACUUGUAAUAAUUCUAUUAAAAAAGAAACAAAGAGAAAUAUUGUGUUGUUUUUCUUUCAGUACUCUGGUGCGAGGUAUUCAUUGCCAUGACGUGGCUUAAAUUUAGUAAAUAAACAAUUCUCUGUAAAAGUGAUGCUACAAUUAUGUAAUUGGGAUAAAAGGCGUUAAUAUAUUGUUUGUAUCUAAAGGGUGUGUUCUGCACACUGUAUUAUAUUUUAUUGUAUUAUAUUAUUUUAAUGUAAAUAUAUUGUAUUAUACUACAUUACAUUAGUAAUGUAUUAUAAUAAUAUUGUAUAAUGGUUUGUGUUACACUGUAAUGUAUUAAUUUUAUUGUGAUUAAUUUAAAUUAUAUAUUUAGAAAAUAAUAUUUUUUAGUACCUAUAAAAAUACUAAGUAUAGAAGUUUUAAAUUUUAAAAAUUUAACAUUAUUUUUAGUAUAAAUUUUAAAAAAUAUCAUAAUUUUUUCAUAAAGAUCAAAGCUUAUAACUUUACAUUUUUGGCAACAUAACAUUCAUUUUUCAGUAUUUUUUAAAUAUAUAAUGUGUAAAAUAAAGAUCGAAUGAUAUAAUUUAAUCCAAUAAUCUCUAAAUAAUAUCAUAAUCUAAUAAUGUUUUAUAUUAUUAUUUUAUUGGUAUUAAUUUUAAAUUAAUAUUAUUUAAAUUUAUUCAUAUACAAAUAUUUAUUAUUCGUUAUAUUAAAUUAUUAUUUAAGUAAUUAUUAUUAGUUUUAUUAAAUUGUUAAAUAAUAAUAAAAUUUAUAUAUUAAUUAUUAUAAUAUAAUUAAAUAAUGUAAUAUUAUGUAAUAUUUUUAUUUUUAUAUAUUAUUUAAGUACUUAUUAUUAGUUAUAGUAACUUGUCAAAUAUUAAUCGAUUUUAUUUAUUAAUUAUUAUAAUAAAAAUAAAAAUAUGAAUUAUUUAUUAAUUUAUAUUAAUAAUUAUGAUGUUAAAAUAAAAGAAAAUAAAAAUUAAUAUUAUAUUACAUGAAAAAGUUAUAUUUAUUUUUUAUUAUUUAUAAAAAAAAAAAAAGAAGAGCAAAACACUAAUGUGGCUAUUGUCGCAUGAACUAAACCCGACUCCGCAUUAGUAUACCCCCUUUAACCCAUUACAAUUUUUUUACAAACACAACCUUGGUAUUAAGUUAAUGUGAACUGGAUUUUAAUACCCUGUAAUCCUAUGAUUCAAACACACCCAAAGUGAUGAACUGAGACCAGCAAAACCAAACCAAAUGAUUUCAACGACAUAGUUGGGAUGAUAAAACAAGAAUGUUCUACAUACAGUUAUGGUUCUGGCUUUUUGACAAUCAUUCAAGCAAAUUUACUUCCAAGAGGGCGACUCCCACAUUGAUGAUACAGGUACAAUUGAGGUCUUGGCCACUGUGAAAUUGCAGCACAUAGCAGCAAUGGCAAGCAUUAAAUUGCAACCCAGGCUAGCAUUCCAUUAAAGACUAGAGAUGGCUGGACUCGAGAAGCAAAAUGGAAUGUUAAGCAUCAGAAACCUUCUUAAAAGAAAAGCAAGUUUCACCGUCAAAACUUAUGGAGUACACCUGAGAGUUAAGCUUCUCAAAGAAUAAUAAUCAAACUCAAUAAGAGACGAAGAGUAGCUCAACUGAAAGAGUUUCAAAUAAUUCUCGCAGCUCCGU
RNAcentral lists this long non-coding RNA (53184 nucleotides) under Citrus x clementina. RNAcentral's name for it is "Citrus clementina (C. clementina) long non-coding RNA (CCLE_LNC001054)". The record is from RNAcentral. Lineage: Eukaryota; Viridiplantae; Streptophyta; Magnoliopsida; Sapindales; Rutaceae.